ACAAAAACAACCGAGAGAAGAAAACAUGGCUCGCUGUUUUAGAUCACUACUCAUAGCAAUAACAUCCCUGUGGAUGUUAUCUUCAGUACUGAUCAGGUCUUCCGAUGCUGCUGGAAUUGCCACCUACUGGGGCCAACACACCGACGAAGGAAGCCUGGAAGACGCAUGCCGGAGAAAUACCUACGACUACGUGAAUCUUGCCUUUCUGAUAAAUUAUGGCGGUGGCCAGACACCAGAAUUGAACUUAGCUGGGCAUUGUGAGCCAAGCGAUUGCUCCUCGCUUAGUUCUGAGAUAAAAGCUUGCCAGAGCCGAGGCACCCAAGUGCUUCUUUCUCUCGGUGGAGCUCCAAACCUCUCUUCCGCCGAUGAUGCCAAGGAAGUCGCGUCCUAUCUCUAUAAUAAUUUCCUUGGCGGUAAAUCAGAAAAUCGUCCAUUAGGCGAUGCUGUCUUAGACGGAAUAGACUUUCAUAUCCAAGCUGGAAAGAGGGAUUUCUUGGAUGAUCUCGCCAAGGCGCUCUCAGAAUAUAGCACAUCAGAGAGAAGGGUGCACUUAUCUGCAGCACCACAAUGUUUCUAUCCUGACUAUUAUCUCGACGCUGCUAUCAGAACUGGCCUCUUUGAUUAUGUGUGGGUGCAAUUUUACAACAAUCCGCCUUGUCAGUAUAGUAUGGGCAAUGCCAACAACCUCUUCUACAGUUGGAGUUCUCAUUGGGCUUCAUACCCAGGAGUUAAUAAACUAUUCCUGGGAUUACCUGCAUCCCCUGAAGCCGCUCCUAGUGGCGGUUACAUUCCACCUCGGGUGCUUAUUCGCGAAAUUCUUCCCUAUGUCCGGGGCUAUCCCAACUAUGGAGGCGUCAUGCUUUGGAACGCAUUCUAUGACGAGAAUUACAGUCAGGCAAUCAGGCCUUAUAUUAACCCUGAAACGCUGGCUUGCGAUCGCAAGUCCAUGCUAAAGUCCCCAAGCAAUUGCGACAUAAAGAUAAAGUCUUAUGUGACUAAAUAAGUUCCUCUCGUUGUCAUAUGAGAGAUGAAAAAAUGUAAUCAUGGCUGUCUAAGCCAGAGAUAACGUGAAUAAAUAUAACAUGGGUUAUCAAUCCCCAGAGUUUGAUUGUCAAUUCGUGUUUGUUCUUGAUUAUAAUUUAGCACGAACGAUAUCAUUAGUUCUAGUUUCCUCUUAUUCUUCGGGAAAAAAAGGUAUUAAAGAAGAAAAGAACAUGCAAAAAGUGCCAGAUCAAAGUCAAUAUCAUUAGAGAUAUAUGUUCUCCAAAAUCAAUGUGUUCAUACAAGAACCUUUUAUGUUUCGGCACAUCUCUACUGUUGAGAAUAUUUAUGGUUCUGUUUGCUUCCACUCAAUGUUUAUAUUAUAUGUAAAACUAAACUUCCAUCACUUCCAGACUUUAAUGUGAAUUGACGGAGCAGCACAAUUAUCCUGGAAAGUUAUGAAUAAUGCUUUUUUUUUAAUAAUGAAAACAAUGAUGGCCAAAACUUAAGAUUGGUGUAAAAUUCAGUUUAUAGUUUCACAUUAAAAAUUAUAAGGAUGGUAUGAACGCCACCAGGUACUUAUUAUUGUGUUUUAAACUUGAAAAGCACAUUUUUUUUUAUUUGGUUUUUUAUGACACGAUAACUUGAUGAUCCAAUUAUUCAAGUUGCCAAAGAGGGUGGCUAGAAAUAAAAGUCUAAAAUUGAAGAACUAAGUGCACUUUUGAUAUACUUGAAUUUAUUGUUUAUUAUAUGGAAAUAGUUUUUCAAUUUCAAAUGAUUUUGAUAUUUCGAAUGCUUUGGCAAGUUUAUUUGGACAAAGCUGUAGAAGCAGAAUAAGGGAAAGCCUUGGAAUAUAAUGAUGAUGAUGCUAAAAAUGAAGAUGUUAGUGUUUGAUUUGCAAAAGCAUUGGUAAGAAUAGUACUUAUUAUCUAGCUCUUUGGCCUUAUUAGUUUUUAGAUUUUCCUAAUAGUGUCAUUCUACACUUGUUUUUCUUUUUCAAGAUGAAGAAGAUUCAGCUGGUAGAGAAGUCAAGGAAGAGAUUAUAAUUUGUGUUGGCUUUAUUGUAGUACAAUUUAAUUAUUUUUUGGUAAAAUUUUAAUGUCUUUAUUACCAAGCAAUUAUGGAUUGUAAUCUCUCAAAGAAAAGGAAAAAACAAGAGAGAUUAUAUUAUUGAGAAAUUCUAUUAAUAAAGAUAAAGCUGUAGAAUAUGUAUACAAUGAUAAAUUACAACAAGUUACCAUAUUAUACAUUUCCAAUUUUUCAAAAAAAAAAUUUGAGAACAACACAACUACAAUUUUACUAUUUACAAGAUUUCACGACAAGUACUCACUCCCGCACCUUGCGUGGGUUCACCCCUAGUUUCACAAUAUGAGAAUAAGAAGAAAUAUUUACAGCAAAGUUUAGAGACUCUAGAAUACAGGAAUGGGACAGGUACGAUCGACUACAGGUGCAAUUGACGCAGUUGUUAUACCCUUUUCAUGAUUUGAUUUAUACUUACAUAAUUUCGCUGUAUUUUAUGAUUUGGUGUAUACUCACAUAAUUUUUAUUAUAUUUCAUGAUAAAUAAUAAAGUUAUAUGAGUAUAUAUCAAAUUAUAAAAAAGUACAAUAAUCGUGCCAACCACAACUAAUACCACACCGUACUUGUCCUACUGGAAUACUUAGUUAAUAUUCGAGACUGAGACCAUAGAGCAUUAAUCCUUCUCACAUUGUAUCAAACAGAGGUACUGUUUGACAAUUGAAUUUUUUGGGUGUUUGUCCAAAAUUUUACUAUAAGUUAUCGUAAAAUUUGUAAAAAAAAAACUUGUUUGGAUGGUAAAACUUUCUUCCUUUUUUUUAUCUUUUCUUUUUCCUCUCCUCUUGUUUCUCCCCCACCCAACCAUUGCUCUUCCUCCUCCCCUUCUUCCCACUACUAGCCACCAUUGCCGGUACCUUUGUCGGCAAUCGACAACGGUGCCAGUAGACCUAUUUUUUUCUUACUCUCUUUUCUCCCCUUCUCCCCCCCUCUCCUUCCUCCCUUUCCUCCUUUCUUCUCCUUCUUUCCUCCUUCCUACUCCCUCCCUUUGGGAGAUGGAGGACCGGAAGGGGGAGCGGGAUAGGGAGGGAGGAGGAAGGAGAUAGAGGAGAUGAGGAGAGGAAGGAAGAAGGAAGUAGAAGAGGGGAAGAGGAGAGAAGGAGGGGAAAAAAGGGAUGAGGUUGCCAAAGGCGCCGCCAAAGUGCCAACUAGCAGUAGUGGUGAUGGUGGGUUGAGACGUGGGAAGGAGGAAGAAGAAGAAGAAGAAGAAAAGAAAGAAGGAAAAAAUUUUUUUGUGUGUUUUUAGAUAUUUUCAAGUGUGUAUGUUGAAAAGUUCUUGAAGAGUUUUUUUUCAUUUUAUUGUAGUUAAAACUGUUAAAAAAACUUACAAAUGAAAAACUUAACAAAAAACUCGCUAAAUAGGACUAGAGUUUUGAUGGGCUAUGAUGACACAACGGAGGCAGCUCCUCCAUCCAGCCUAAGGAUAACAACAGAUGCAGCUCCUCCAUCCAGCCUAGGGAUAUCUGUAAUCUAAAGAAAGCUCCAGAACAGAGAGGUGGAACCAGAAAUAGUUUCUACUAGGCGCACAAACUGCUCCUAUUGGUUAAUUAGAUUGAGUUACAACUUAGAUCAAUGGCCUAAACCUUAACCACUACAAUCACCGACGCAUUUUUCUUUUCUUUUGCUCCAAAAAAAAGCUUAAAGUUAUAGUAAAAAUUAUUGGUAACAAAUGAAAAUCUAAAUUUAGCUCUAAAGUAGGCUAUAUUAUAGUAAUUGAUCCUCUCCUUAAUUUCACUCUUCCAGUAACUUUGAUAUAUCAUAAAUGAUCAUCCAUUAUUAUAGAUCUUGCUUUCUCCUUUCAAAAAUUUUUAAUUUGGAGCAAACUAUUUGAUUUUUAGUCAAGUUCCUACGUUGCACAACUCUACAUUGUGGAAUCUGUGAUUCGUAGUAUCUUGCCAAAUCUUCUUAAUUUGUUUAGUAUCUUGCACAAUCCAGCUUGGAAAGUUGGACUAGUUUGGGAAGUAAAAGAAAUGGAGUGUUGCUCCUAAUUUUUGGCCAUGAGGAAGAGAUCAACAAUUUGUUCAAUAUUUCUUCUUUUAACAUUAAAAGGAAAUGAAGGAGUGCAACAUAAAAUCUCAUAAAAUUUAGAAUCCUGUGUUUUGAUUGCACCCAAAAAAAGAAGAUGAGGUGGAAUUGUGAACACGAUAGAGACUUAGUAGAAUUAAUCAAAAGAAUUUAUUCUGGGAAUUAAUCAAAAGAAACCAUAAAAUAUUAUAGAAUUCAAUGGCCUAGACAGCAUUUGAUAAAACUGAAAAUUGAUUUCUGAAAUAUAAAGACUGAAAACUAAUUCCUAAGUUCUUAAUUUGCUUAUAUCCAUGAAGUCACAUCUAUUUGAUAAUCAAUUUAAUGCAAGCAUUGAAUUGAAAUAUUUAUUCCAUAUGUAUUUUGUAGUUUUUUUUUUCAACCAAACGUUGUACCAUUAUUCAAGCUGCCCAAGAAUACAAUGCUGGGAGGAAGGCCGCACCCUUACCUCCGAAACGAGAAACGAAAAUUACAAAAAUUCUGCUUAUCCAGUGCCAGUAACCCUCUAGUACGACACAGUAAUUGAGAAGCCCAAUGUAUUUUGUAGUUUAAUCCUAAAUGUGAAAGGUGUGUUUUAUGUUAGAUUAAUUUUUAAAUAUUAUUUUUUUGAUAAAUGUUUGUUUGAAAGAAGAAAAGCAUAGAUUCUACAUGUUUGAAGGGGAGAUUGUAUUUAGAUGUAUUAUAUAGAAGAAAAAAAAUAUAUAUAUAUAUAUUCUAGCGAGAGAGAACGUGUGUGGAUGUGUGAAAAUGUGAUCGAAAGAGAGUGUGUGUAUACUGUGUGAAAGUGUAUUGGUGAGCGCAAUGAUUCUUUUGAGUGAAUAUGAUUAAUACAUAUACUAGUUCAACAAAUUAAGUGAUACAACUUUCGUGUAAAUUUUUGUAUGUAAAUCAAAUGUGUCAUAAAUAUAAGCAAAUUUUAUUAUCAAACAAAUGUAGCAGGAAAGAAGUACUUAAUACAAUAACUUUGCGUACUUAAUGAGGUUAUCAAAUAUCUCCUUAACUCUAGAAAAAUAGUCUAUUAACAAAUUUGUGUUGAACUUAUUAAAUUGAACCAUGAAAUUUUUCCCAAGACCUCCAUUUAAUAGUGGGAUUUGUGUUGCAACAUGGUGAGGAUAUUGGACAGGUAACUAUGAGGUCGUAGUCAAACUUUCAAGAGAGAAGGAAAUGGUAAAAGAGCUCUUUACUUGGCUUUAAAUGCUGUAUCUUUAACGGGUAGGGUUUUUUUGGGAAGGGUUCCAAAAACAAUCAACGAAGGCUAGUGGCAAAUCAGCACGGAAAGAAGAUAAACCGAGAUUUCGGCGGCAGCUGGCAUACUUUCUUUCCUGAUUGCGAAACACCAUGUCGAAGCUAGGGUAUUUUAUCCAACCAGCCUAGAUUAGAAUUUCAAGACGUACGGCUUCUUCGAGUAAAGAAAGUUCAGCCACGAACACUCCUUUCACGACCUAUUCAGAACUAAGUACACCUUAGAACAGAAGUGCUCGUUAACUAGAUUCCCUUCUUAUUUCAAAAUCAAUACUGAUGGGUCCUCGAUCCAUGGGGAACUCGGGUCCAGCUGGAUCAGGUGACUUGAAUAGAAAUCACCUAGGACACUAGGUAGCGGCCUUUAGCAAAAAAUUAGGACCCAUUACCAAUAUCCUUGCUCAGUUGUGGGGGACAAGAGAUGGGGUAUCCUUAGCUUCCUCUCUCACUUGCAAAAUAUUGAAUUAGAAGUUAAUGCUAAAACUGCUCUAGAUUUGAUUAAAUCUGUUGAUACCUCAACUCAUGAGUAUGAUUCAAUUAUUUCUAAUUGGCAGGUUCCUGAUCUCUGUUCUGUCGAAAGUUAUACUUAGAUAUACUUAUCGAAAGUUAAUCAGUAUGAAGAUAGAUUAACGAAAUUAGGUGCUCAGCAAGACACGAUUUUUGUAUGUUAUGAAAGUGUCCCUCCUAAUUUAAAAAUCUAGUAGAUGCAGAUAUUAAGGGAAUUUGUCACUUUGUGCCUAUAACUUAAUAGUCCCUUUGUUACAAACAAAAAAAAAAAAAGAAAGAAAGAAAGAAAGAAGGUUCAGCGACUGGCAUUUGUUCAAUAUGAAUCAUAUUACAAAAAAGGGGUUCAUGAAACAUGCAACACCACACUGCAGAAGUGGUAGGCGCCGCAUCUAUCGAUGAUGAUUGAGACCAAACUUGAUGAGAAGAUUCUAAAACAGGUGUCUCAAGAAAGCUGUAAUAGAAAAACAUGUCAACGUAAUCAGGAUUUCCAUCGUAGAAUUUAGCAAACCGCAUAUACCCUAGAUCCUGAAAUCCUUGGUGCAACUGACUCAUCAUUAACAGAGCUAUGUUUGAAAAGAUGUCAGUUUCUGCAAGAGCAUGAACCUCAAAAGAAUUUGAAGAAAUUGUCACUGGUGGAGAUAGGUAUCAAGGAUGAAUUUUGCAGUUAACUUGGUGCAAAAGUACAGGAAUCUCGUGACUCUGAAAACAAGAAUCAGGACGGGUUUGAAACUAUCAAUUUGAAAAGAGAAAACACAUUCAAGAGGCAAUAUUUUAAGUUGUUUAACGAAUAAAAAUGUUGAAAAGUAUAUUAAUAGAAACUUGUAAAAAUGAAAACUUACAUGAACGCAACUGUGGCCUAUACAUUUUUUUGCCUGUGACAACAUUUUUCCUUCUUUAUAUUUUUUUAACUUUAGUGCUGUCAAUUCAAUUUAAAGUAUCUUUCAUUUCAGCAUACCUGUCCAUUGAUAGUCUCAUACUUUAUGAAUUACUUUGUUUUUUUUUGAGCACUUCAUGAAAAACUUUGUCAUGUUAUGACCCAAUAAUUUGUCCAUAACCUGUGAUCGACUUUUUUCUGAGCACUUGAUGAAAAACUUUGUCGUGUAUUGUUCUAACAAUGUGUUUUCUAACAAUUUUGUCCAUAACCUUUGACUCAAUUUACUCGCAACCUAAUGAAUACACAAGCACCCUACUCCCGCACAAUUGGACGGGCUUAAUUCUCUAGUCUUUUUUUUUUUUUUUCUCUUUUGAUAAAAACAUCAUCAUUUUGUUGAAUCUGUAGUAGUGGGAGAAAUUACAUCAAUGAUAUAUAGAUAUAGAUUUGAAGAACAAAUGCUAGAUGUUGUAGAUCUGAAUAAUCAAAAGCGUCUUUAUUGUGGAACUCAAAAAACAUCAAAUGAUAUCUGCGCAUACUUCCACCGAUACCAUUUACUUUCUCCUAAAUAUGCUCAUGAACUGAUUCAAGCCUGGAUGCUUAGAUGAGAUCUGAAGAGAUAGAUUUAAGAAAUCUCAAAUCUGGCAACUAAGUCUUAAAAAAAAUUAGAUCUAACACUAGAAAUAGAAAAACUACAAAAAGUCCACUAAGAAUCCACAAAAUCACCAACAUCAUCUUUACUGCAGCCAUCGUCGACCAUUCGAUCUUCAAUUUUACUUCCCUUCGAUCAACUUUUUUUCAUCAGAUUUCAUCAUAUCAUCAACCUUAUUUCAUCAAAUUUAAAUUUCACAAUCCUAAAAAGGAUAAACCAAAACAUCAAAAAGAGCCCAAUCUUGCAAAAUUUUAACCUUGCACACCACUGAAUUAAGCCCUCUUUUGCAAAAUUUCUUUUUCAUAAAAAUUUGUGAGAAUUAAUGUGUGCAACCUAUGAAUGUUUGGAUUUUUUUAGAUUAUUAGUCUUCUUGAAUUUGUCCCCUCCUUAAUUUAUUUAGUCAUUUGUAUGCAAUUUUGUAAUCAUAUAUUCUUUUUACGUGAGGAAGACUGAUUUUGGAUGAAUUUUCUAUUGACUCAAUAUCAAAUUUGCCAUAGCAUGUUGGAAAAAUGCCUAAACUAAAUUCAUGGUUGUUCAUUGUUUCUUUCUUCUUCUCUUUUUGUUUUUUUUUGGUGUAGCUAGAUAUUGAAAGGGUUGAAGAAAGGGGAAGGAAAAUUUAGUAUUGAAUUUGAGUCUUUGCACUUGCAAUUAAUUUGUAGGUGUUCUUGGUUUCUUACAGUUGAUGACGGAUUAUUACUGACGAGUUCCAUGUGAACUAUCUUCAAUUACAAAUAGAAAUAAACCGGAAAUAUUUCUUAGAAUGGUACCCUAAGAUAAUGAUUAUGAAAUCAAUAAUCAUCGCAAGUGGAUUGUCAUAAUUAAAUAUGUAAAGAUAUAUAAUACUGCAGCCGGUUUGUUUGUGAUGGCUAAUCUUUUCCUAUGUGCUCCAUUUAGUGAAACUUCAUCUAUCUUGAUCACGUGAACCACGUACAAUCAUAUGUACAACCAGUUAAUUUAUUUGGGUCCUUGCAAGUAAAUUUUCAAUUCAGAUUUAUUGUUUGCUUCGGGAUAGAUUUAACUUACCAAAAAAGAAAAAGUAAAUUUCAGCAGCAAAGCCUUCAAGUAAUUUUGAAGUGGGAAAAUCAUUUAAAAGUCCCUCACAUUUCACUAAAUAAAAAUUUUUUUAUCCUUCACUUUAAAAUAAUAACUUUACGUUUCUUAUAAAAUCAAGUCAGUAAAAUUUAGUUCAACUUAAGUUUUUUACUACUUUUUACCCUGAAUUCAUCACAUAAUCCAAAUAUGGUCAUUUUUUUGGGACAAAAAGGUUAAAUCUCAUUUGUAGUCAAACAAAUGAUUUGAUCCAUAACUAUUUUGACACUAAAGAGUAGGAUCUGAUCUAAAUCAUAUUUAUUUUUCUCUUGAAAAGUGGGAUCUAAUUUAAUUCAUAUUCAUUUUUAUCCUAAAAAAGUGAAAUUUGACUUUUUUGUAUAUAAAAUAAUUUCAUGGGAGUCACAUGGUGAUUUCAAGUUAAAAAGUGGUAAAAAAAAACUUAGAUUCGAACCAAAUUUUGUUAACUUGAAUUUAUAAGGAACCUAAAACUAAUAUUUUAAAAGAAAAACGAAAAAAUUCAUUUGACAAAAUAUACGAGACAUUUUGAAAGAUUUUCCCUUCUGAAGUUGUCUUUUGAAUAUUACCUAUCCUUUGAUUUCCUAUUGUACUCCCUUUCAGUGAUUUAUUGGGAGCUCCUCUUUGGAAAUGUUCCUCACAAUGGGAUCUCAACGUUAUUUGAAAACAUGAAAAUUGCAAAGACAAGUUGGUCAUAAGCCGAUGACAUUAGCCUUAUUUGGAUUACAAGUUUUCACAGAAAAAUUUUAAAAUAUUUCUUGACAUAUUUUUUAAUCACAUUUUUAUCUUAUAUAUGUCAUAUUUAUUAUUAUAAUAUUUUUUUUUUAUAAAAUGCUAUAAACUUAUAUACAUCCUAUUAUCUUAUGUAUGUCAUAUUACUAUAGUAUAUUUUCAACGAGACUGUGAACUUACAAUUCAAACUGUAACUUUCAUUUUAGUGCGUCCCUUCUAAGUGAUUUUAGUGCGUUCACUUCAAUUCAUGCACGUGAAGGGGAAGGACUGGUCCAGAAUUCUGUAGAAGGACAAUAAUUUGGGUAAGGACUGGAAAAUUCAAUUGAAACAAGACAAGAAUGUCGCAUUCGAAGUGCGAUAAUUUUGGUGUCAAUCAACGUCACUAUUAAAAGAAGAUAAGAUUGUUGAUAAAUCCAUACAUCAAAUCCGUAUCCAAUAUCUUUACUCGAAAAUUGUGCUCCCGCAAGAAAGUACAAGUAAACUCUUAUAUUCAUCAAAUAUGAUGUGGCCGACAGAAAAGUUCAGGCUAAGAUGCUCUUAUACUUGAGUGAAGGGAGAAGGUUGAUUUAAAUUAUUACUGUCAAAGAAAUUCAUUUAACUAAAUUUAUCUAUAUUCGCUCAUAAAUAAAUGAGUAUGUGUAUAUUAAAUUUUUACAUAUGGAUAUAAAUGAAUAUUAUUAGAUAACCCAUCAAACUUAAUUAAUCCAUUUAAAAUUGUCUUCUCCCAAACUUUCUCUCUUCCUCCACCCUUUUUUUAAAUUUUUUUUUCAUUUUGUCAUGAUGUUAACUACUUUUGUUUCAUUAUUAUUAUUAUUAUUUGUUAGUUUUAUCUUAUCAUUUUAUUUUCUUUUAAUUUAUUAACUUGCUCAUUUUUCAAUAUUACCAAUUUAUGACAAGUUUUAAAUUCUUUUCUUAUUUUUCCAAAAUAAAAUUUUAAAUUUACACACAAAAAAAUGCUAGGGUUCAAAACUUUUGGAUUAAUUUUUUAUGUUAACUUUUAUAAUAUUUAGUUCAAAUUUUUAUAUUCUUAUUGUUUAAUUAUGAAAUAGUAUGUAAUUUUGCGACAUAGAGUACGGAUGGGAAAAAAAUUGAUAAUUAGGCUUAUUGAACAUUAUAAGUAAAUAUUUAAAACUAAUGAUGGGUGCAAAGAAUGGUAUAAAUUGAUAACUUAGUUUGCAAAAAUGAAUUUACAAAAAGUUAAAAAUAAAUGGGUUAUAAAUGGGUAAUUGGGUUACCCAAUUUAUUUUUUGACUUAUCCAUUUAUAUCCAUCUAAUUAAAUGGGUAUAAAUAAGUUGACUCACUUAUAUCCAUUACCCAUUUUACCCAAUCCAAACGCCCAAAUCAUCCAUUUUGACACCUCUAAUUUAAACCUAUUCAUCAUCAAUUUUGAUUUACAUAUUCUAAUAUGUUGCCACAAAAAAAUCAGGGACAGGGAAAAUUAUUUUAAAAUAUAUAAAAAUAUGUGAAAAGAGAAAGAGAAUAAAUAUACAAUAUAACUGAAAUAAUUUUAUAAACUAAACUCAACAAUAAGACUCACAAACAACAAUUUUAGAAGCUUUCUCUCAUUAUCCACAACUUAACUCUCUCUUCAAGAAAACAAUGAAAUGGUACUACUCAAUUUAUAGAGUAUCCAACGGACUCUAGUCACAAAGGAAUAGGACAAUGGACAAAUAUAUAUAUAUAUAUAUAUAUUGCAAUUCUGAACCGACGACAGUAUUCCUCUCCAAAAUGAUAAAUGUAACUUGCUAAGCUUUAAUGACCAGACACAUCAACUUCUAAAUUCUUCAACUCACUAGACCAAGAAAAAGAAGUUGCCACAUAACUAAUUUAUUCUAAUAAUUAGUCUUGGUUUAAUUAUCUACACAACCAUUGGUCAUCUUUCUUGGGCAAUUACAUAAUCAAUCCAACCUUGCUACUUGUCAGCCUUGAAGGACAGCGCUUGGAAAUUAAUUAACAGCUUAUCAUAUGCGCUACAAAAUGCAGAAGUUUAAUCUAUAGAUUUAUCUGUAGACCUUGUAAUCAAUUGGUGAGUCACAUUGAUUAAGUGAUGUAUGUUUACUUUUUCGUCCCAUUUAUUUAGUCAUGUUUGACAAAUCUAGCUUUUAAAAAUAGUGAUUUGAUUGUGAUGUUUGUACUUUUUUUUCAAUUUUACUCUCACAAAUUUAAAUUUUAAAUUUGAAUGGUAACAUGAAUAUAAUUAAAAAGAAAGGCUAUAUUUAAAAGGGAGAUUAAAAGGUACUUUGAUUUUUUUUACAUGAUAUUUUUGGAAUAUUCUAAAAUGAAAAAUACAGCAAUUUUAAUGAGACGGAAGAAGUAUAUUAUUAGUAUUAGAUUAUAAAAAAAAUUGAUGUGACUAUAGAGUCCAAAAAUAUCUUUCAAACCCAUUCAGGCUAGGUAAGGAUACGCCAAGAACGAAAUACGGGAAGAUAACAGGUGCAUGGUUGGGACUUGGGAGGAUGAGUAGAAAGGAUGUACUCCUGUUUUUAUUUGUCCAUUCUGUAUCGACGUGGAGACUUGGAGCCGCGAGUUUAGAAAUUAGUGACUUUCAUAGCUAAGGACAGGUUAGGUCAGUACAAUAAUUGCCCCAUCCAUUAUUGCGCAUUAAAAGGGACCCAUUUCUCAUUAUCGGACUCGGAUGUUUGCCUUUAAGUUGCUGGGCACUUAUCUUAAAGGAAUAUUCUUUUUACCUUUUACUGCGUUACAUGCCAAACGAUAGCUAUUAUUAUUAGAACUGCAUAGUUUGUGGGGAUAAUUGCAGAAACCUCCCCUGAGGUUUCUGACAUUUUCACUGACCUCCCCUAUGGUUUGAAAAAUUACACUGACCUCCCCUGAGGUUACUAAUCCUUUGCAAAUUUAGUCCAAACGAUUAAAAUAUUAUUAUUUUAGGGAGUGAAAUUAGAAUUUUGUACUAGAUUUGCCCUUUGUACUACAUGUCCAAUGAAUGACAAAGUAUUAUAAAUCAAUUAACAAUUAAUAAACUUUAAGGAGUAUAACUUAUGGGCAAACACGCAUUACUCAUUUAAAGUACCGGCUCUUUACGGGUAUUUUACUUUCAAACAUUUAAUUUAUGAUAAAUAUAUCAAUAUUUAUACGUAAAAUUCAAAAAGUGUUACAGUAAUAUUCUUGCAAAAAGGAAAUUGGUAGGUUAUUGAUUUAAUAUAAAUUAAAUAUUUUUUUUUAAAAAAGAAAUGGCCCAUAAAGUAUUAAUUCUUUAUGACUUUCAUACAUUACAUAAGUAAAGUAUUCGCUCUUUAUGUGCAUUUUAUUCUGAAUCAUUUAAUUUAUGUUAAAUACAUAAAUGUUUGUAACUAAAAUUGAAAAAGUGUUAUAUUAAUAUUUUUACAGAAAAGAGAUUGGUAGGUUUUGUAUUUAACAAAAAUUAAAUAUUUGAAAGUAAAUACAAAUCUGUAUUUGAGCGUAAAUAUUUGUAUUAAAUUAAAUGUUUGAAAGUAAAAUACCCGUAAAGAGCCGGUACUUUAAAUAGUUACCGGCUCUUUAUGGGCAAACACGCAUUAUUUAUUUAAAGUGCCGGCUCUUUACGGAUAUUUUACUUUCAAAUAUUUAAUUUAUAAUAAAUAUAUCAAUGUUUGUAAGUAAAAUUUAAAAAGUGUUACAGUAAUAUUCUUGCAAAAAGGAAAUCAGUAGGUUAUUUAUUUAGUAUAAAUUAAAUAUUUUUUUCAAAAAAAGAAAUGAUUCAUAAAGUAUUAAUUCUUUAUGGCUUUCAUCCAUUACAUGAGUAAAAUAUUGGCUCUUUAUGGGUAUUUUAUUCUGAAUCAUUUAAUUUAUGUUAAAUACAUAAAUAUUUGUAACUAAAAUUGAAAAAGUGUUAUAUUAAUAUUUUUACGGAAGAGAGAUUGGUAGUUUUUGUAUUUAACAAAAAUUAAAUAUUUGAAAGUAAAUACAAAUCUGUAUUUGAGCGUAAAUAUUUGUAUUAAAUUAAAUAUUUUAAAGUAAAAUACCCGUAAAGAGCCGGUACUUUAAAUAGAUAAUGCUUAUUUGCCUAUAAACUAUACUCCUUAAAGUUUAUUAAUUGUUAAUUGAUUUGUAGUAUUUUGUCAUUCAUUGGACAUGUAGUACAAAGGACAAAUUUGGUACAAAAUUUUAAUUUCACUCCUUAAAACAAUAUUUUAAUCGUUUGGACUGAAUUUGCAAAUGAUUAGUAACCUCAGGGGAGGUCAGUGUAAUUUUUCAAACUACAGGGGAGGUCAGUGCAAAUGUCAGAAACCUCAAGGGAGGUUUCUGCAAUUAUCCCUAGUUUGUGUGAAGAGUGAGAGUCAGAGUAUUAUUCGCGCCUUGAGGUGUUGUGUUUCACGUUUCUAUGUUACACGAAUUUUAUGACUCAUCAGAGAGACAUUCUAUCCUGUUCGGAAAAAAAACAAAAAAAAAGAGAGACAUUCUAAAAUUUGGAUUUUUAUUCAUUAUUGCAUCGGAGUCAGAACCUUGUGAUAAGGGGUGCAAUGGUCAACUUCAGUAUAAAUCAUACUCUUAGAUUUAUAUAAUAAAUAUACGAGUAAAUCUUAUAUACACUGACAGUGUAUACACUAUCACCAUUGGAUUUAUGAUAUAUGUGUAAAAGUUGAAUUUUAAAUUCAAAACUUAUAUAUUUGUCAUUUAUUCAUCGUUGAUAAUGUAUACACUGUCAGUAUAGAAAAGAUUAAUCCUAAAUAUACAGUAUGCUUUUGAUUUAAAAAGUGAAAUCUUUUUUUCCCAUUAAUGUUUAAUUUGAAAUAAAUCCUAAAUUUUUUUUAGAGGUAAUCAAUAGAAAGUAUUUUUUGGAGUCAAUGUAGAAUAAGUGAGGAAUAUAUAAAGCUUCAAAAGAUAACCUAUAUAAAGAAGGGAAUUUUCUUAAAUUUGACGGGAGCAAUACAACUGAAAGAGAGAAUUUUAUAAAAUUCAAGGGUGCAACACAUGGUAUAAACUUAAUAAUCUUGAAAAAUUUGAAGGCCAUUGUACAAUUUUAUCAAAAUUGAGGGGGCCGGGGAGGGAGGGAGGGCAAUUGUCCACUCCACAAUCCUAUGUGGCUCUGCCACUGGAAUACUUAUCAAUCGAAUAGAUAGUAUGAUAGACCGCCAGCCUUUGGCCAGUGGCCACCACCUAGCUUGGUGGGGUGGGAGGCAAGGCAAAAUGCCACAUUUAAGUGGUUUGCUUCAAAAAAUUCAGACGGGUGUGUUGUGCACCCGUUUGAUUCGGUGGUGGUUCAGUCCCCUUCGGGUUAUUCUUGGGCCUCCUUAGGUCCGCCCCCUCCCCCUUAGUGUAGAAUAGAUUAGGUUAUACAACAGUUGUCGUUUCCGAAAAAAAAAAAAAAAAUAGAUAGUAUGAUAAGAUUUUAACAGCAAAAAUUGUUAAAAAAAAGGGAUUCUUUGCCGUACUAUUCGACCCAUAAUCCGAGGGGGUAAGGUGGGAUCAACUCCAUGGCACAGAGAGGCAAAGUGCCAUUCAUCGCCUAAUAGAUAAAUCCUUCUCUCAGUUAAAAGCCACAUUGGUUUGCAUCUAUCAAUUUGAAAAAAAAAAAACUAAUUUAAGAGGCAAUAUUUUAAGUUAUUUAAGGAAUAAAAAUGUUGAAAAAGCAUAUUAAUAGAAAACUUGUCAAAAUGGAAACUUACAUGAACUCAACUUUGGUCUACAAUAUUUUUUUUUGUUUUUACAAUUCUUUUCUUAAUAUUCUUUUUAACUUUAGUGCUGUCAAUUUACUUCAUGGCCCAAAGGCAAAAAAAAAAACAAAGACUAGUGAUUGACACACGAACAAUCUUUAAUGCAAAUUUCAAACUCAUUAAGAAAUGAGAGUGUGAAAUUAUCAGAUUGGAUUUCAGUGAAAUGGGGAUUUUAAACAUUCAACGCGAAGCAUCUAAGCUGGAUCGCGGGCUGGAUGACAUUGAAAUUGUGGUGAAGAUAAGUUUUCAAAGUCUCUUUCAUUUCAGCAUACUUUAUGAAUAAACUUUUUUCUUGAGCACUUUAUGAAAAGAAUAUUUUACUCAGUUUACUCACUAACUAAUGAUUACACAAGCACUCAACUUCCGCACAUUUGCACGGGCUUAAUCUUGUAUUAUUAUUAUUUUUUUUAUAAUAAUAAUAAUAAUAUUAUUAUUUACUUCUUCCCGAAUGUGCUAAUGAGCUGGUUUAAACCUAAAUGGUAAGGUGAAAUCUGAGGUGAUAGAUUUAAAAAUUUUCAAAUUUGGCAAUCAAAUUUGAAAAACGAAAAAAAAGAUCUAACACAAGAAAUAGAAAACUACAAAAAGUCUCACUAGAAAUCCCGCAAAAUCACCAUCGUCAUCUUUACAGCAGCCAUCGUCAACCAUUCGAUCUUCAAAUUUACUGUCUUUGGAACAAAUUUUUUUCAUUAGAUUUCAUCAUAGAGCCCAAUCUUGCAGUUCACUGUGCCAGCACUGAAGUAAGCCCUCUUUUCCAAAUUUUUUUUUUGUAACUUGAAAUUUGUGUGAAUUAAUAUGCGCAUCCUAUGGAUGUUUGGAUCUUUCAUUUUAUUAGUCUCCUUGAAUUUGUUGUCCCUUUGGUCAUUCGUAUGCAAUUUUUUAAUCACAUAUUCUGUUUACCUGAGGAAGUCUGAAUUGUGAUGAAUUUUGUAUUGAUUCAACAUCAAAUUUGAUUAAAGGAAAAAGGAAACUGGCCUACGAUCAUAGCAUGUAAGCAUGAUGGAAAAAUGCCUAAACAAAAUACAUUGUUGUUCACUGUUUUGUUUUCUUUGGUGUAAUUGGAUAUUGAAAGGGUUGAAGAAAGGGGAAGGAAAAUUUAGGAUUGAAUUGGGGUGUUUGCACUUGCAAUUGAUCUGUAGGUGCUUUUGUUUUCUUACAGUUGAUCAUGACGGAUUAAUUUUUUUUUUGGUAUUAACCACAGGUGUCCGCAUCCGUUUUACGGUCUACGACUAAUUCUGUUCUAGUCACGUUGGACCCUUUGUAGGGGGAAUCUCUCCCAACGUUGUUUUUUCCAUCCUCAUAGAUUUCGAACCCGAGACCUCAUGGUUAAGGGAUGCAAGCCCCUUCCACUUACACCAACAUUCGUUGGUGACGGAUUAUUACUGACGAGUUCCAUGGGAAUUAUCUUCAGUUACAAAUAGAAAUAAACGGGAAGUGCUUCAUAGGAUGGUAUCUUGAGACAGUGAUUGGGAAAUCAGUAACCAUCGCAAGUGGAUUGUCAAAAUUAAAGAUGUAAAAGACAUAUACGACUGCAGCUGGAUUGUGAUGGCUAAUCUUAUCCUAUGUAGUGAAACUUCUUGAUCUCGCGAAACAUGUACAAUCAUAUGUACAACCAGUUAAUUUAUUUGGGUCCUUGCAAGUAAAUUUUCACUUCAGAUUUAUUGUAGUGAUUGUAACAUAUAUUUUGUGGCUUUGGAACAGAUUUAACUUACCCAAAAAAAAAAAAAAAUUAAAUCUCCACUGCAAAGCCUUAGAGUAAUUUUGAAGUUCAGUCUAUUGAACACUGCCUAUCCUUUGCUUUCCUAUUGUACUCCUUUUGAGUGAUUUAUUUAGAGCUUCUAUUUGGAAAUGUUCAAACCUGACAAUAAGCUCUCAGUGUUAUUUCCAUGAAAACUGCAAAGAGAAGUUGAUCAUGCAAAAAACUACUGUAGCUGACAAGAUUGGCGUUAUUUGGAUUGUCGGUUUUCACUUAAAAAUUUUGAAAUAUUUUUUCAAUAUAUUUUUCAAUCACUUUUUUAUCUCACAUAUAUCAUAUUAUUAUAAUAUAUAUAUUUUUUAACGAAACUCUAUAAACUUACAAUUCAAACUGUAACUUUUCAUUGUAGUGCGUCCUUCAAAGUGACUUUCGUUUUAGUCCGUCCAUUUUAAGUGAUUUUAGUGCGUCCACCUCAAUUCAUGCACAGGAAGGACUGGUCCCAGAAUUCUGUAGCAGGACAAUGAUUUAGGGUGGCCUGGAAAAUUCUAUGGAAACAAGGCAAGAAUGUCACCUUUGGGGUGUCCAAUAAUAAUGUUAGUGUCAAUCAACCUCACUAUUAAAAGAAGAAAAGAUUGUUGAUAAAUCCAUACAUCAAAUCCGUAUUCAAUAUCUUUACUCGAAAGUUGUGCUCCCAAGAAAGUACGAGUAAACUCUUAUUCAUCAAUUUGCAUAAACAAUAGGGUUAAUCACAUUUUAUCCCCUUAAAGAAUGCCCAAAUUUUCAAUUUACCCCCUAACCUUUAAUUUUGCUCACUUAACUCCCUUUAGGACAAAAUUGCCCUUGUAUUAUUUUGACUUUUCAUUUACCUUAUUUUCCUUUCUUUUAUUUCUUUCUCUCUUUCUUCUUUAUUUAAUUCUUCUUCUUUCCCACAAAAAUCUUCACCUUAAUGAUUGAAAUUAAAAAAGAGGAAUUGCAGAUAUCUAUCUUCUCCUUAAAUGAUUAAAAAAAUAUUCAAAUCACUUUCCUAAAAUAUAAUUUUUUUAGCCUUUCAAUUCUUUUACUUUUGGGUUUUCCUCUUUCCUUUCUAGUUUCUCAUUUUAUUCCCAAGAAAAUAUCUUAAGAUGAAAUUGUGAUCUGAUUAAUAAACAUGAAUGAAGGGAGAAGGUUGAUUGAGGCCCUAUUCAUCCUCAAAUUUGAUUACAUAUUCCAAUCUAUUGCCACAAAAAAAAAAAAAUCAUGCUCAGCAAAAAUUAUUUUAAAAUAUAGGAAUAUAUGUGAAAUAUAACUUAAUCGUUUUAUUAACUAAACUCAACAAUAAUGCUUACAAAUAACAAGUUUAGAAGUUUUCUCUCAAUGUCCACAACUUACCUCUCUCUUCAAGAAAACAAUGAAACGGUAUAGAGUAUCCAACCGACUCUAGUCUCAAAGGAAUAGGAAACUAACAAUUGGCAGAAAAAUUUUUAAUUCUGAACCGACUAGGAGUAUCUCUCUCCCAACAUGAUAAAUGUAAAUAACUUGCUGAACUUUAAUAACCGGGACCUUAGGAAAUAUUUCUUUUCCACAUCAACUUCUAAAUUCUUCCACUCACUAAACCAACAAAUAAAAAAACUUGCCACAUAAGUAAUUUAAUUUAAUAAUUAGGCUUGGUUUAAUUAUCUACACAACCAUUUGUCGGAUUUCUUGGGCAAUUACGUAAUCAAUCCAACCUUGCUAACUGUCAGCGUAGAAGGACCUUAGAAAUUAAAUAACAGCUUAUCAUGCACUGCAUAAAAUAGGUUUAUCUGUAGAGCUCGAGCUCGUAAUCAAUUUGUGAGUCACACUGAUCAAUUUGUGGGUCUUAAAGGUUAGAAGUUAAGAGGUUAUUCUGGCGAGAUUUGGAUUUGGGAAUUUUUUUAAUUUGUUUUCUUGCCUCCCAAAGAUCUUAUUCUCCUUCAUUUCUUUGUUUGUUAUUACUUUUUUUUUUAAUGAGUUUUAAGAAGUUAUGGUGAUAGUGGGGGAUGAUGAUAGUGGUGAUGGGAUGAUCAAGAGGUUGGUGUUGAUAGUGUGAGAUUUGGGUAUGGAUUAUGACUUGAUUUCUAUUUCUGUUUGAUGAAUUUUUAGAUAUUAAUUUAUGCUUUUUGAAAGGGAUUUUUGUUUGAGGAAUAUUUGUAGGGUUUAGAAAUUUGACUAUAUUCAGAAGAUGAAAAUAAAGGAAGGGUAUUUUUGGAGGUUUGGUAAAAUUUUGAGGGUUAACAAGUAUAAUCACUCUCUCUUUUUUUAUCAGAUUUAAUUUAAUUUGUAAAUUGUGCAAAAAAUUAGAAGUUGAAGGUAAUGGACUGCUAAAUUUAAAGUUUGGAAUGCAAGUUCCAAUUGCGAAAUUGUUGAGGGGUGCAACUUACAAUUAACCCUAUUUCUAUUUUAUUUUAUAUUAUACAACUUGUUAAAGGGACAACUGUAGUAUUAAGAGAAAUAUUUUAAAGGGAUAAUUUCAUAAACCUCCCCUGAGGUUUUUGAUAAUUUUAUGUGGCUCCCUUAAGGUUUCAAAAUUUACAUCUACCCCCUUACCCAUUUAAAAUGACAAUACUAACCUUAAUAUUUUAAUAAAACUCUCUUGCUUCCAUGUUUAUAAAAAGGAUGGAUUUUAUAAUUUUUAUAAUUUAUGAAAAGAGGUAAAACGGGAUGAACCCCAUGGUUCAGGGGAACAAAGUGCCAUUCAUCCGCUAAUAGAUAAAUCCUUCUCUUUCUUCCUUAAAAGCCAUGUUGAUUCAGUGACAGGGCGUCAACUAAUUAAAAAUAAAUAACUACUCCAGAAAAUACGAACUUGUUUGCAGCAAUGAGUAGGAUUGUCUCCACAAGAUAGAGUUGAUUUAUUUUCUUCCAAAGCAAUGAAUAAAAAGGGGGAUUUUGGAGAAUUAAACUAACUAAUUAACUUAAACACAAAUAAACAUGCAAAGAAAAUUAACUAAGAAUAAACCAAUAAUAAUAGAGUUCUAGCCAAAGGAAUAAUCUUAGGAUUGGUUCCUAUAAUUGAUCACUAAAGCAAAGAUGAAUUCAAAUAUUAGUGAACAAAUAGGUUAUAAUUAUCAUUAAACUUUGGCAAUCAAUCUUUCCUUACUUUAUCGAUAAUCAGAGUAUGGCCACUAACUACUUCUCUAACUAAAAGAUAAUCCUAGGUACAACCAUAGAAUUAAAUCUUUUAUCAGCAUCAAGAAUUAAAAAAGCCUAAUUCGAAUCAACAAACAUGUUGCGAGAGUUCAUUUAAAUUAUAUCAUAUAUUUUCCUGAUAUAGAUCCAAUUAUGCUAGUCAACACAAAUAUUAAAACAGACAAACAAUUACGAAUUUAAUUGUUUCAAUUGGCAGCAGACUAUUGUAAAUAAUUAAAUAUUGGCCACUUAUUUAAUUACACACAAUAAUCAUCAUACAUGUAAUACAGGAAGUAUAAAAAUACCCACGAAUAGAUGAAACAGUAAACUUAAAUUAGAUAUCAUAAUUGUUUGUAGAACCAAGGCUUCGAUUAUCCUCUAACUAGAAAGAAAAUUUAGCCACUUCUUAUGGAGAAAAUGCAGCGGAGAAAACUAGGUUUUUGUCUUGAGAGAAGAAAAAAGAAAACCACCUAACUACGAUGACAAAGUGUAGAGAGAGUUUGGGAAUUAAAUAUCGAUAUUCUCGCCCUAACAAUCUAUAUGAUAAUCUCCUAAAAAUUAUUCCAAUAAAAGGAAUUAUCUUCCAUACUGGAAUAAUCUAUUUUCGUAGAUAAUGAUAUAAUAAUAUCCUUACUAACUAGUUGCCAUCCAAAAAUAAAAAGUUUUCAAGGCUGCAGAGAAAUCAAUCAAUUAUUCUCUUUAAUUGUUGAAAUUAAUCUCAGGUCCCACAACUUCUGAAUUUCCUAGGCUCUUUAAGACGCGCCCAUACUUUAUAGCAAAUAGACUUUUCAGCAACUCUUUUUAGUCCUCUUUCAUCCCAAAUUCUUAUGACAUCACUAAAACACAAAAUAUAAGUAAAAUCCACAAAAUAACACAAUAAUCUACUAAAAUGAAAGGAGAAUCGACACAAACUAUAUCUCGAUUAGGCACACAAUCAUUUAGUGACACAUGAUGAUGUAAGUAAUAUUACAUUAUUAUGAUGAUAUAUGUGGCUCUUGAGUAUGCACCACAUCGUCCAUGAGUGGUUCCGAAAAUCAAGUUUUUAAGAAGGUUUUAAAGCUGGAAAUCUUACUGGGUCAUAGGUUAUUGGUUCAAUCGUUAGAUUAAAUGUUACCAAGUCAUUGUUACUCUGUGACACCAUAUAUAUCAUAAAUAAUUAAUGUGAAAAAUCAUUCAAUACGUCCCUUAUAUUUUAUUAAAUGGUUUUUUUGUUUCUUCACUUUUAAAAUGUUAGUUUUACAUCUAUUACAAAUUCAAGUUAGUAAAAUUUGGUCCCAAUCUAAAUUUUUGACUACUUUUUAGCCUAAGAUCGCCAUGUGACCUAUAUGCAAUUAUUUUUUAUGUAAAAAAAAAUGUCAAAUACCACUUUUGUAGUGAUAAAAAUAAAUAUGGAUCGGGUCAAAUUCCAUUUUUGUUUUAAAAAAUGAAUAUGGAUCGAAUAAUUUAUUUAACUACAAAUGGGAUGUAACAUUGUUUAAUUCUAACAAUUGUUAAGUGGAUAGGAACACGAAUAGUAAUAAAUUUUGGAUUUUGUAAACAAUUUAGAGCUAAAUUAUAAUUUUUUAAAGGUGAAAUGAUAGAAACUUAAAUAUGAGGUAACAUUGAAAUCUAAAAGUAAGUAUGAGGGCUAAAUAGUAAAAUGUCAAAAAGUAUAGUGCGUUAAUCGUUUCCGAUAAUUAUAUGCUAAUGCUGGGCCGCAUUUUUUUUUUUAUUUUAAAGAAAAGCAAGACUCAAAACGGUUUAGUAAAAACAUGUCAACGGUUCGUUGGUCCGGCCAAACGAUCUAGUUGGUUUUUACUAUCUAGACCGAUUUUUUGAUCCAUCUUUAGUUUGAGACUUGACUUAGUUCAGAAAGCUACUCGAUCAACAGUUGAAUCAGCUCACUCGAACAGUCAAAACUGAGUUUUAUACUAUUAGUUUUUAUUUAAAUAUUUUCAAUACCCAUUUAUAAGAUUAUGGCACUUGUAAGUUCUCCAUGAACCGAAAAUAAAAAGAUAUUUGUGUUAUAGUUGAAAUGAUGAGUGAAGAAAUUUACUGAUGCUGUCAAUAAUGUAUCGACGGGAUACUUGAGCAACGAAUAAUACUUUUCUUUGGGUAAACAAUCAACUAUUAUUGAUAAAGCACAUAUUACACAUAUCUGUAAAAGGAUGGGUAGUAUUUGGCACGUCUUCAAUUCGCCACACAGGUAGCUGAACUCAUCUAUAAAAGGGGUCGAUCUGUGGGCAACCAAAUACACACCAAACCAAAAAAUACACACGAAAGCAAGCCUGCAAAAACAACCGAGAGGAGAAAAAAUGGCUCCCUGUUUUAGAGCACUAGUCAUAGCAAUAACAUCGCUGUUGAUGAUAUCUUCAGUGAUCAGGUCUUCCGAUGCUGCUGGAAUUGCCACCUACUGGGGCCAAAACACUGACGAAGGAAGCCUGGAAGACGCAUGCCGGAGAGGUACCUAUGACUACGUGAAUCUUGCCUUUCUGAUAAAUUAUGGCAAUGGCCAGACACCAGAAUUGAACUUAGCUGGGCAUUGUGAGCGAAGCGCUUGCUCCUCGCUUAGUUCUGAGAUAAAAGCUUGCCAGAAACGAGGCAUCCAAGUGCUUCUUUCUCUCGGUGGAGCUCCAAACCUUUCUUCACGCGAUGAUGCUAAGGAAGUCGCGUCCUAUCUCUAUAAUAAUUUCCUUGGCGGUGAAUCACAAAAUCGUCCAUUAGGCGAUGCUGUCUUAGACGGUAUAGACUUUCAUAUCCAAGGUGGAAGUAGGGAUUUCUUGGAUGAUCUCGCCAAGGCGCUCUCAGAAUAUAGAACAACAGAGAGAAGGGUGCACUUAUCUGCAGCACCACAAUGUUUCUAUCCUGACUAUUAUCUUGACGCUGCCAUCAGAACUGGCCUCUUUGAUUAUGUGUGGGUGCAAUUUUACAACAAUCCGCCUUGUCAGUAUAGUAUGGGCAAUGCCAACAACCUCAUCAACAGUUGGAGCUCUCAUUGGGCUUCACAUCCAGGAGUUAACAAACUAUUCCUGGGAUUACCUGCAUCCCCUGAAGCCGCUCCUUCUGGCGGUUACAUUCCACAUCGGAUUCUUAUUCGUGAAGUUCUUCCCCAAAUCCAGGACUAUCCCAACUAUGGAGGCGUCAUGCUUUGGAACGUAUACUAUGACGAGAAUUAUAGUCAGGCAAUCAGGCCUUAUGUUAACCCUGAAACUCUGACUUUUGAUCGCAGGUCCACGAUUAAGUACCCAAGAAAGUCCAUGAUAAAGUCUUUUGUGGAUGAGUAAGUUCCUCUCAUUAUCUUAUGAGAGAUGAAAUAAGUAUAAUAUAAUCCCGGUGGUUUGAGCCAGAGAUAAUGUUAAUAAAUAAGUUCCUCUCAUUAUCCUGUGAGAGAUGAAAUGUAAUCCGGGUUGCUUUUGCAAGAGAUAAAUUGAAUAAAUAAAUAAAACAUGGGUUUUCAAUCCCCAAACUAAGGGCAGUCGCGUUUGAUUUUUUUUAAUUCGUGUUUGUUCUUGAGUAAAAACUAUCACGAACAGUAUCAUUAGUUUUAAUUUCCCCUUACUCUUCAGAAAAAAAAGGGUAUUGAAAAAAAAAAAACAUGCAAAAGGUACUAGAUCAAAAUCUCUCACUCGCUAGACAAAGAAUUUCAAGAUAACAGCCCUUGAUCCAAUCCGCAUUCCAAUGCAAGUUCCUGGUUUUACUUAGUAUGAGGAACCUUGGGCCAUGCGAGAUCAAAUAAAAAAAUAAUAUCAUCAGAUAUUUAUUCUCCAAAAUCAAUAUAUUUAUUCAAGAGCAUUUUACAUUUCAGUACACCUUUACUGUUGAGAAUAUUACUGUUCUGUUAGCUUCUAUGCAAAGUUUGUUUCAUAUGCAAUAACGUACUUAGUAACUAAACUUCCAUCACUUGCAGAUAUUAAUCCAGGAAAAAGAUGAAUAAUUGUUUUCUUUUAUAUGGAUUAAUCUUCUAUACAUUGACAGUGUAUACACUUUCAUCAUUAGAUGCAUGACACAUAAUCCGAAUUUGAAUUUGAAACUCAAAUAUUGUAUAUAUGUCGUAUAUUCAACUGUGAUGGCGUAUAUACCGUCAAUGUAUAUAAGAUUUAUUUUUUAUAUAUAUAUACACAUAUAAGGAAAGCAAUGACGUUCAAAACUUAAGAUCGAUGUACAAUUCAGUUUUGCUUAAAUUCUUAGCUCGAGGCCUGUUCAAAUCUUGUAAAAAGGUACUGGUAAUAAAUGAAAAUCUAAAGUUUGCUCUAAGGUAGGUAAUAUUAUAGCAAUUGGUCCUCUUCUUAAUUUAGUUCUUCCAGUAAAUUUGAUAUAUCGUUUACGAUCAUCCAGCAUUAUGGAUAUUGCUUUCUCUUUGUGAAAAUUUUUAGUUUUGAGCAAAGUCUUUGGUUUUUAGUCAAGUUCUUGCGUUGGACAGCUCUACAUCUUGGAACUGGUGAUUCGUACAAAUAUACAGUAUCUUGGAAAUAUUAGACUUUUUUUUUUAAAAAAAAAAACCUUAUUUUAUUAAUGAAGCAAAAAGGAAUACAUGAAUGCGUGUUCAGGCUGCACCACUCGACCUACAGCUAGGCCUAGAGCUGUUAAACGAACCGAGUUGUUCGGUAGCUCGGUUCGUUUCGACUCGUUCGAAACCUUAAAUGAACCGAGUUCGAACGAAUGUUUUUGUUCGAUUAAUAAUCGAGCGAACACGAGCAUGUUCGCGAGUUUUAACGAACGUUCGCGAACAUGCUAAACGAACGUUCGCGAACACGAGCAUGUUCGCGAGUUUUAACGAACGUUCGCGAACAUGGACAUAAUUAUCAUUUGAUAAAUUUUAGGGUUAAUUUUAUGGCUGGACUUUUAUGUUUGGAGGGCAAAUUACUUUGUUUUAUUUGUUAUUUUUAUGUUAAUGUUAGUUAUAUAGUUAAUGAAUAAUAGAAUUUAGUCACUUAGUGCUUUAAUUGUUUUUGAGAAUAGUUAAUAAUUUGCAUGACAUAUUUAAGGCUUAAAAUAAUUUGGAUUCGAGCAUUUCGAGUAUGUUCGCGAACGGCUCAUUUAUGUUAAAUGAGUCGAACACGAACUCGAAUUCGAACACGAAUUUUGCUUAACGAGCCGAACACGAACACAUGUUUGAAGUUCGAAAAUUAACGAACGAACACGAACGUUGUUCGAACUGCUUAACGAACAGAGCUCAAACAUGAGAUACUCGGUUCGAUUCGGUUCGUUUACAGCUCUAGCUAGGCCCCAAGGACCUCUUAGAAAAUCGAAAACUCCCAAUCCCCAGUCUAUCGACCUGACAUAGGCCCCUCACCGACCUUGGCAAGGACGUGAAGGAGAGCAAGAGACAAAAGUUGCUGGAGCGGCUACCCAGCGAUGCCAACGAAUCCGCCACAGCAUUACCUUCUCGAUGGAUAUGUUGAAAGGACGAUAUAGCUGGCGAGAGUUGCCGAAGAUGACGGAGGAUUGGCAAUAGCGAAACCGGAACGCCCCAUACCCCUGUAGAACGUCGAUCAGGAUCUUUGAGUCGCCCUCCACCACGACUGGGCCAUGGCGGAAUAGGUUACACAAUUCAAGCCCCGUGCACAGUGUGAGGCCCCGAAAAAAAUGAGUUUGAGAACCCGGAAAUUUUAAUUUUCUAGGGUUUAUUUUGUUUAAAACAAAACCCGCAUUUUCUACAUUUUCUUGAUUAGAAAAAAUCCCAGAUAAAGUUUAUGAGCAAAAAUAGUUUUAAAAUGAUUUUUCUAGUAUCGGUUAGUUUUUGAGAAAUUAAAAGCGUAUUUUGGACGUGGGACCCACUAGUGCGAAAAGUUCGGAAAAUUCGGCCAAUUAGGUUAAAUUCCGGAUACUGUGUAAAAUUUAUCGGGUGUUAAGAGAUAAGUAGAGUGUGUGAAAUGAUUGAUGAGAGAGAGAAAAGAAAGGAUAGGAAUGCAUUUAUUGUAGUGCCACAUGUCACCAUGAUAUUGGUUAGGACUUAAGACUACUAUUCAUGGUUUUGACCUUUUGACUUAUGGAUUAAAUAUCUUCAAAAUUCACAAAAAAAUUACCAUUUUUCACCCCUUGAUGGCCGGCCCUCUCUAGCAAGAAGAAAGACAAAACUCUUCAACAUCUUGGCAAAUUCCUAGCUCAAAUCAUCCAAACUACUUACCUAAAUUAGUUUUUACUCCAUAAAAUCCUUCCACUUGGUAUUAGUGAGUGUUUUGGUGAAGCUUUUGGAGAACUUAAGGUGUCCAACAUCUUCCUCUCUCUUGUUUACUUGGUAAGUAGUGAUUGACUAUCCUCUUACACCUAAUGAUGUUGAAUUUAUGCCUAAUGGUGGCUAUUGUGUUAGAAAUUGUGGUUUAUUUCUUGGUUUGAAGUGAUUUGGUUAAGUUUUUAUUUUUUUGAGGAAUUUUCUGGUUUUAUGUGAUCUUGAUGGUGUGGUUGUUUUUGAUGGUUGGUAAUAAGGGGCUAUGGAUCUAGUAGGUGCAUAUGAUAGGAAAUUGCAACUAAUUUUGGGUUUGGAUUGAAUUGUGGAAAGUUAGGGUUUUAUCACCCCUAAUUCUGUCCGGUUUUAGAUCAUAGGGUUAGAGGCCGAAUUGGACUUUGCUCAAAACAUGAAACUUGUAGGUAUUGAUGAGUUUGAAGUGCCUGCAAAAUUUCAGGGCAUUUGGAGUAGUGUAGAGUGAGUUAUGCCGUUUUUACUGUUGCUGUUCUGGGUGAUCAGAAUGUGCGAACUGUGAUUGUAAUCGUCUGUUUUGACUGGAAUUGCUUUGGAUUUGGAUGUUGGUGUCUUCUGAUGAAAUGUAGCUUGAUGCCUUAGCUAUCAUAUGCCUUUGGAAUCAAUGCAUUUGGACCUGUGUAACUGAGUUGGACGAAUUACAGCAUUGUGUGAUUUGGGAACCUGCAAUUACGAUUCUGGUUUGGUAUUCUGCAUUUUUGACCUAGUUGUGCUAGGAUUUGGACUGAGUGACCUUCUACAUUGUUGUAGCCCUGGUUCUUAGCUUCGAAACGGUGGGUCUUGGACCUCCAUCCGAUACUCGUAAUACCUUUGGUGCCAUUACCGCAAAAGGACGUCAAAACUGUUUUCUGGUUUUGAGCAAUUGUGGUUAAUUGCUUUGUGAUUGGGUUUGAUUGUAGGAUGGAAAGGAUGAAUUUAUGGGGAAAUGCUGUCCGAUUUUUAAUAGCGUUGGUUACCUUAAGUUUCAUGUGAAAGGCUUGGACUUGAAUGAUGGAAUUGGCUAUAUUGGACGAGGAUUGUGAGCCGUGGAGGUGAGUGACCUUAAACUACUUGCAACGUUACUUUAAAAUGUUUCUUGCAUCGUUUCUUUGAUUGCAUAUCCUGUGUGCCGGCAUAUAAGUUCUUGACAUGUUUUGGCUCAAAUGAGUACUUGGAAUUCGUGUGCUAGACUCCGACGUCUCCUCCACCGUUUAAUGUUCCUGUAGGGCACCAAUGGGCUCAAUGUUCAAUGUUAAUGUUCAAUGUUAAAUGAUUGUUUGGAGCGUUGGACGUCUAAGUACCAUGAUUUCACUGGCUCAUGAGAGAAGUGAAAGUGCAUUGAUUGUUGAAGCAUGACAUUAUUGAAAUGAACGAUUGUGAAACUGAUUUGAUAACUGAAUUUCUUGGUUACUCGCUGAGCUUCUAGCUCACCCCAAAAUGUUUUAUUCCCCUCCACAGGGCUCAAGGCGAAGGAGUGGCUUGUAGUGUUUAUCAUGGAUUAUCUCAUGUAUGGACUGAAUUUGGAUUUCCUUUUGUGUAAUCGUUCAUAUUGGGAUUGUAUUGAACGUUUAGAAUUGCUUGGAUGUGUAAUAUGCUAGUUUUGGACUUCCUCCUGUAUCAUAAUUGGGAUCAUGGAUCAGAGUGGCGCAGUGGAAGCGUGGACGCUUCGCUUUUGAUAUGUAAAGUUUGGGAACCUUUGAUGUAUAUUUGAUAUAUAUAUCUUGAAAUUCCAUUGAGAAUUGUAGUGAACGACUGAGUCCUGGCGAGAGCUGGGCAGGCGGCCCGCCGAACCCUCUGGUUCGCCUUAGGGGGAGGUGGGGCCGUUACAGUUGGUAUCACAGCUUAGGCUUCAGAUCUCUAUAGUGUAUCCUAGGCUUGAAGUUUAGGAUGCCGGACUGUGGGUUUGGUUUGAAGUAUUAGUGAUUCUUGCGGGAUGUCUUGACUUGAUUAGUACAAGAGGGAAUGACGAGGACGACAUUCUUUUAAGGAGGGGAGAUUGUGACGCCCCGAAAAAAAAUGAGUUUGAGAACCCGGAAAUUUUCUAAUUUUCUAGGGUUUAUUUUGUUUAAAACAAAACCCGCCUUUUCUACAUUUUCUUGAUUAGAAAAAAUCCCAGAUAAAGUUUAUGAGCAAAAAUAGUUUUAAAAUAAUUUUUCUAGUAUCGGUUAGUUUUUGAGAAAUUAAAAGCGUAUUUUGGACGUGGGACCCACUAGUGCGAAAAGUUCAGAAAAUUCGGCCAAUUAGGUUAAAUUCCGGAUACUAUGUAAAAUUUAUCGGGUGUUAAGAGAUAAGUAGAGUGUGUGAAAUGAUUGAUGAGAGAGAGAAAAGAAAGGAUAGGAAUGCAUUUAUUGUAGUGCCACAUGUCACCAUGAUAUUGGUUAGGACUUAAGACUACUAUUCAUGGUUUUGACCUUUUGACUUAUGGAUUAAAUGUCUUCAAAAUUCACAAAAAAUUACCAUUUUUCACCCCUUGAUGGCCGGCCCUCUCUAGCAAGAAGAAAGACAAAACUCUUCAACAUCUUGGCAAAUUCCUAGCUCAAAUCAUCCAAACUACUUACCUAAAUUAGUUUUUACUCCAUAAAAUCCUUCCACUUGGUGUUAGUGAGUGUUUUGGUGAAGCUUUUGGAGAACUUAAGGUGUCCAACAUCUUCCUCUCUCUUGUUUACUUGGUAAGUAGUGAUUGACUAUCCUCUUACACCUAAUGAUGUUGAAUUUAUGCCUAAUGGUGGCUAUUGUGUUAGAAAUUGUGGUUUAUUUCUUGGUUUGAAGUGAUUUGGUUAAGUUUUUAUUUUUUUGAGGAAUUUUCUGGUUUUAUGUGAUCUUGAUGGUGUGGUUGUUUUUGAUGGUUGGUAAUAAGGGGCUAUGGAUCUAGUAGGUGCAUAUGAUAGGAAAUUGCAACUAAUUUUGGGUUUGGAUUGAAUUGUGGAAAGUUAGGGUUUUAUCACCCCUAAUUCUGUCCGGUUUUAGAUCAUAGGGUUAGAGGCCGAAUUGGACUUUGUUCAAAACAUGAAACUUGUAGGUAUUGAUGAGUUUGAAGUGCCUGCAAAAUUUCAGGGCAUUUGGAGUAGUGUAGAGUGAGUUAUGCCGUUUUUACUGUUGCUGUUCUGGGUGAUCAGAAUGUGCGAACUGUGAUUGUAAUCGUCUGUUUUGACUGGAAUUGCUUUGGAUUUGGAUGUUGGUGUCUUCUGAUGAAAUGUAGCUUGAUGCCUUAGCUAUCAUAUGCCUUUGGAAUCAAUGCAUUUGGACCUGUGUAGACUGAGUUGGACGAAUUACAGCAUUGUGUGAUUUGGGAACCUGCAAUUACGAUUCUGGUUUGGUAUUCUGCAUUUUUGACCUAGUUGUGCUAGGAUUUGGACUGAGUGACCUUCUACAUUGUUGUAGCCCUGGUUCUUAGCUUCGAAACGGUGGGUCUUGGACCUCCAUCCGAUACUCGUAAUACCUUUGGUGCCAUUACCGCAAAAGGACGUCAAAACUGUUUUCUGGUUUUGAGCAAUUGUGGUUAAUUGCUUUGUGAUUGGGUUUGAUUGUAGGAUGGAAAGGAUGAAUUUAUGGGGAAAUGCUGUCCGAUUUUUAAUAGCGUUGGUUACCUUAAGUUUCAUGUGAAAGGCUUGGACUUGAAUGAUGGAAUUGGCUAUAUUGGACGAGGAUUGUGAGCCGUGGAGGUGAGUGACCUUAAACUACUUGCAACGUUACUUUAAAAUGUUUCUUGCAUCGUUUCUUUGAUUGCAUAUCCUGUGUGCCGGCAUAUAAGUUCUUGACAUGUUUUGGCUCAAAUGAGUACUUGGAAUUCGUGUGCUAGACUCCGACGUCUCCUCCACCGUUUAAUGUUCCUGUAGGGCACCAAUGGGCUCAAUGUUCAAUGUUAAUGUUCAAUGUUAAAUGAUUGUUUGGAGCGUUGGACGUCUAAGUACCAUGAUUUCACUGGCUCAUGAGAGAAGUGAAAGUGCAUUGAUUGUUGAAGCAUGACAUUAUUGAAAUGAACGAUUGUGAAACUGAUUUGAUAACUGAAUUUCUUGGUUACUCGCUGAGCUUCUAGCUCACCCCAAAAUGUUUUAUUCCCCUCCACAGGGCUCAAGGCGAAGGAGUGGCUUGUAGUGUUUAUCAUGGAUUAUCUCAUGUAUGGACUGAAUUUGGAUUUCCUUUUGUGUAAUCGUUCAUAUUGGGAUUGUAUUGAACGUUUAGAAUUGCUUGGAUGUGUAAUAGGCUAGUUUUGGACUUCCUCCUGUAUCAUAAUUGGGAUCAUGGAUCAGAGUGGCGCAGUGGAAGCGUGGACGCUUCGCUUUUGAUAUGUAAAGUUUGGGAACCUUUGAUGUAUAUUUGAUAUAUAUAUCUUGAAAUUCCAUUGAGGAUUGUAGUGAACGACUGAGUCCUGGCGAGAGCUGGGCAGGCGGCCCGCCGAACCCUCUGGUUCGCCUUAGGGGGAGGUGGGGCCGUUACACACAGUGCCCUAGCCUCAGCUUGCAAUGACGUCACAUUUCUAUACAGCUCCGAAUAUGCAAAAAUCACCCGACCCUUAGAAUCCCUCGGUACUCCCCCUCCUCCGCCUGUGAAUGGGUGAUGACAGACCCAUCAAAAUUGAGCUUCACCACCGCUGCCGUUGGGUGGACCCACCGCACAUACCGCACAUACCGCACCUGGACAGGGAGACGGACUUCACCAAGGCGUCGGAUCACCGCCUGCCAGCUACACCCCCGCACCUGACAUCGAAGGAAUGGAAACUGAGAUCCAAGUAAGUCCCUAAAGUCACCCAAUAUUCUAUUCGAGAUGAUCUCCGCUGAAAGGACCUGUCCAUCGUAAACAAACCCACAUCGCGCCUUCCACAAAUGCCAUAAAAUAAUUGCUGGCCCAACGUGCAAUACCCAUCGCAAGAUCCAAUGAUGCGACUGUGCAAACCACCAGGACAUACACCGAUCACGGAUCGAUCUGCCGAGAGAAGAGACUCCAAAUGGCGAUCCAAAGAAACCCCAGAUUGCCGUGGGAAUGUCCCCCAUGGAAAAAAUAUGUUGCAUGGUCUCAAGUUGCGGCUCGCUACAACAGAAUUAUAUCUUGGAAAUAUUAGACAUAAAGAGCAGGAUCUUUAGCAUGAUUUGUAAACUAUAAUUAAGAGAUAAAUUCUAAAUUGGCAUACCUUGUGACAUUGAAGACAUUUUGGAGAAGAAUUCUACAGCUCUGUAUCACCAAGCCUUUCAAUCUCCAAGGUUGUAAUGAUACGAACUCGACCCAACAAGAACCUGUCUUGAAGAACCAAAUUGAUCAGGCAGCGGAAGGAUCUAUCUUGAUUAGGUUAUGGAACAAUAACUACCUUGCUAGAUUUAAAGAGAACUCGUCUCUAGAAACCUAGUGGAUUAGUUAUUGACUUGAAAAAAACAAGAUGAUGUGAUCAUCUUGUCUUGAACACCACAAGUAUCCAAGCUAAUACUUGAUACAGUUCAAGAAGAAACUCAAGUUCCAUCAAGGAACUCCAUAAAAGGAGACAACUCUCUUUUUAUUAAUUCAUCUUCAACAUCAUAUUUUUUGAAUAGUUAAAUUAAGUUGGCUAUUUAUAACCUUACAAGACUCAAAACCCUAAUCUAAAUUGAAAACAAUACAAGUUUCCUUAUUUGACUUGACUUCUAAACUUGACACAACUUCCUAAAUAAAUUUGGAAGCAAUUUAACUACUUUCCUAAAACUCUAAUUCAACUAGAAUAGGAAACUAGCUAACUCAAAUUGGCUUAACUAUGGUCAACAUGACCUUAGCCUUUAUUCCCUAAUUCAAACAACUUACUUAACUCUCAAAUUAACUCUAAUUAACAACUAACAUUGCUGAAAACUCAAUUAAAUAAAUGAUAACAAGAAAUAAGCAUGACACGGGGUUGGAUCUUCAAUGAUUCUCGAGCCCGAUUGCACCAUCAACCAUCAAAUGAAUUUUCCUUGAAUUUGAAGGGAAUCCGAAUCUUCAUGUUCUCAUCAUGUAAACUAUCGCUUUAUGCUAUCCAGCCUUCCCUCACCUAACUCCCUUUUUUGUUAUUUUAGUGAUGGGUAAAAAUAACGUAUGUCAGAGUGGUGAGAAGGACCAAGAGCCCUAGAACAUUUAUAGAGUCACAAUCCCUCCCAUCAUGGGAUAAUGAUAAACUCUAAUUUUCUUAUCGUACUUUAUUUGUUAACCAUAAUGAUAAGAUACAGUUUAAAAUUACUGUAAUUAUCAGAUAAAGUACCACAAUAAAUAUCAUAUAAUAUGUUCACAUACAAUGAAUAUGGGACUCCCUACUUCCUCCAAUCAUCUAUUCUCAUUAGAGCUCUGUAAUUGGUUAUUCAUAUUUAUUCAUAUGGUUAUUCAUCCUUCUAAUUAACGGGAGUUAUCUUAAUAAUAUUAUACGUGGUCAUGUAGGCCACAUAAAUAUUCUAAUAGGAAAAUCUUCUUAAUUUGUAUAGUAUCUUGCACAAUCCAACUUGGAAAGUCGUACUACUAAUUUGGGAAGCAAAAGAAACGGAGGAUCGCGCCUAAUCUUUGGCCAUUUUGUUCAAUAUUUCUCCCAUUUUACAUUAACCCCUAGUUUGGUAUGUGAAAAUGUCCAGAAUAAAAAAAAUCUUUCCACUUGGAAUACCUUUUCACCAUGAUGGUAGGGAGAAAAAUUUAUCAUUUUACUGUCUAGUAUAUAAGGCAAAAUAGAAUGUUCAUUCAUUUUUAAGUGUUUGAAAUAAUCAAUAUUAAAAUACCAAAAUACAUUACAGUCGAUACAAAUUUGAUUUAAUUACCCUAAAUUAGUUUACGGGACACAACAUGCUUUAUUACUUUUGUCUUGUUGGUUCUAUUGUGUUAUUUGUUUGUUUACAUGGAAUUUUGACAUUUUUUGUAUUCGAAAUAAUUGAUAAUUGAUAUUAAAAUAGUUCAAUUGUAAUAAUUGAUUCAUUCUAGAAUAUAGACCUUUACAUUCAACUGUUGCAUCUUCUGGCCAUAUAAUUAAUAUAAAUUAUAUGAAUCUAAACAAAUAUAAUAUAAUUUCGAUUCUUAUUAAAAUUUGACACUCCUAAGAAGUUGUAUGAAUUAUCAAAAAAUUGAACAAAGUACUUAUAUUGCUUGUACGCAAAAUAUUUAAGAUUGACGAACAAAACGAUGGCCUGCUGCCUACAUUCUUUCACUUUCUCACUCUCUAUCUCUUCCUCUAGAGAGAGAAAGAGAAAAAAAUGGUGGUACAGAACGGACUCUCUCAAUUUUUUCUUUUGCCUCCCUGAUUUUCUUUUUCCAAGGUUUCUUGCCCUUACUUUCUUCUACCCAACUAAUUGCCCAAUUCUUGUUGGGGCUGAACCUAUCUAUCUAUGUGUGAUUCAAGAAAGAAAUAAAACUAAAACUGCUGCUGCGCGCCUUAAUUGGUCCUCCGUCGUCUUUGCCACUGAACGGAUUCCUUCAUUUUUUUUUUAGGUGUGGCUAGAUAUUGAAAGGGUUGAAGAAAAUUUAAGAUUGAAUUUGAGUCUUUGCACUUGCAAUUAAUUUGUAGGUGUUCUUGGUUUCUUACAGUUGAUGACGGAUUAUUACUGACGAGUUCCAUGGGAACUAUCUUCAGUUACAAAUAGAAAUAAACUGGAAAUUAUUUCAUAGAAUGGUACCUAAGAUAAUGAUUGUGAAAUCAGUAUUCAUCGCAAGCAGAUUGUCAUAAUUAAAGAUGUAAAGAUAUAUAAGACUGUAGCCAGUUUGUGAUCGCUAUAAAAAUAGAAAAUAAUAUAAUAUAUCAUUUGUCCAAACAUAAUAAUUCCAACUUCACACAAGUUAAACGAAUUCAUUUAGGAUUAAGUCGUUAAUGCCUUUGAGAAAAAAAGAAUAACUUAGUUUAGUUAGAUAAAAUAUUUUUAUAUUUAUUAAAUUAUUUUUAAUUCAUAAACGGUGAUCAAGUCAACCCGUUGGUGACUUGAAUUCGACCUUUUUUUUUUCAGGUUCAUCGGGUUCGACCCAAUUCUAACUCAAACCCAUUAAUUUCAACCCAAACCCAUUAAUUUCAUGUUAGAUUCAUAUUAUAUUUUCAGGUCGUAUCGAAAAUUGCCUCCUCUAGAUUUAACUUACCAAAAAAGAAAAAGUAAAUUUCAGCUGCAAAGCUUUGAGUAAUUUUGAAGUGGGAAAAUCAUUUGAAAAGCUCUUCACAUUUCACUAAAUGAAUUUUUUUUUUGUCUUUCACUUUUAAAAUAAUAAAUUUACGUUUCUUAAAAAAUCAAAUCUGUAAAAUUAAGUUCAACCUAGGUUUUCGACUACUUUUUACACUGAAUUUAUCAUGUAACCCAAAUAUGAUCAUUUUUUCGGAACAGAAAGGUUAAAUCUCAUUUGUAGUCGAACAAAUGGCUUGAUCCAAAAGAGUAAGAUCUGACCUAAAUCAUAUUUAUUUUUUCCUGAAAAGUGGGAUCUGAUUUAAUUCAUAUUCAUUUUUAUCCUAAAAAAAUGAAAUUUGACUUUUUUAUACAUAAAAAAUGAUUGCAUGUGAACCACAUGGUGAUUUCAAGCUAAUGUUUUUGGUAAAAAACUUAGAUUCGAACAAAAUUUUGUUAACUUGAAUUUGUAAGGGACAUAAAGCUAAUAUUUUAAAAAUGAAGAACCAAAAAAUUUAUUUAACAAAAUAUAGGAGACGUUUUGAAAGAUUUUCACUUUUGAAGUUCAGUCUUUUGAAUACUGCCUAUCCUUUGAUUUCCUAUUGUACUGCUUUUCAGUGAUUUAUUGAGAGCUCCUAUUUGGAAAUGGUCAAACCUAACAACGGAUCUCAGCGUUAUUUGAAACCAUGAAAACUGCAAAGACAAGUUGGUCAUUAAAAAAUCUACUACAGCCAACGACAUUAGCCUUAUUUGAAUUGCAAGUUUUCACAAACAAAUUUUGAAAUAUUUUUUAGUCACAUAUUUAUCUUAUAGAUGUUAUAUUAAUUAUUAUAAUAUAUUUUUCUAUGAAACUCUAUGAAAUUAUAUACGUUCUAUUAUCUUAUAUACGUCAUGUCACUAUAUAGUAUAUUUUUCUAAGAAACUCUGUAAACUUACAAUUCAAACUGUAACUUUUCAUUUUAGUGCGUCCUUUCUAAGUGAUUUUAGUGCGUCCACUUCAAUUCAUGCAUGAUAGUCCAGAAUUCUGUAGAAGGACAAUAAUUUAGGAAGGACUGGAAAAUUCAAUGGAAACAAGACAUGUCGCAUUCGGAAGUGCGAUAAUGUAAUCAACCUCACUAUUAAAAGAAGAACAAGAUUGUAUAAAUCCAUACAUCAAAUCCGUAUUCAAUAGCUUUAGUCGAAAUUCGUGCUCCCCAAGAAAGUACAAGUGAACUUCUUAUUCAUCAAAUGUGCAUAAACAAUAUGAUGUGGCCUAGAGAAAAGUUCAAGCUAAGAUGCUCAAGUAUAAGAUAAAAUUGAGUGAAGGGAGAAGGUUGAUUUAGACCUAUUCAUCAUCAAUUUUGAUUUACAUAUUCCAAUCUGUUGCCACAAAAAAAAAUCAAGCACAGGGAAAAUUAUUUUAAUAUAUAUAAAAAUAUGUGAAAAGAGGAAGAGAAUAAAUACACAAUAUAACUUAAAUAAUUUUAUAAACUAAACUCAACAUUAAUACUCACAAAUAACAAUUUGAGAAGCUUUCUCUCAAUGUCCUUCAAGAAAACAAUGAGAUGGUACUACUCAAUUUAUAGAGUAUCCAACGGACUAUAGUUACAAAGGAAUACGACAAUGGGCAAAUAUAUAUAUAUAUAUAUAUAUAUAUAUAUAUAUAUAUAUAUUGCAAUUCUGAACAGGCGAGGAGUAUCCCUCUCCCAAAAUGAUAAAUGUAACUUGCUAAACUUGAAUGACCAGACAUUAGGAAAUAUUUCUUUGCCGCAUCAACUUCUAAAUUCUUCAACUCACUAGACUAACCAAAAAAAAAAAAGAGUUGCCACAUAACUAAUUUAAUUUAAUAAUUAGUCUUGGUUUAAUUACCUGCUGGACUUGGAUUUUAUCUCGGGAUAAAACUCAAAUCCAACAAAAUAACGGUUGGUGGGAUAAAACUCAAAUCUAACAUUGUCUACACAACCAUUAAUCAUCUUUCUUGGGCAAUUACAUAAUCAAUCCAAUCUUGCUAAUUGUCAGCCUUGAAGGACAACGCUUGGAAAUUAAUUAACAGCUUAUCAUAUGCACUACAAAAUACAGAAGUUUAAUCCAUAGGUUUAUUUGUAGACCAUGUAAUCAAUUGGUGAGCCACACUCACCAAUUGAUUCAGUGAUGUAUGUUUAUAUUACUAGCAUUAGAUUAUAAAGAAAAUUGAUGUGGCUAUAGAGUUCAAAAAUAUCUUUCAAACCCGUUUAGAUUAGGUUAGGAUACGCCAAGAACGAGAUAUGGGAGGAUAACAGUUGCAUGUUUUUAAUUGUCGGCUGUCUAUUCUGUAUCGACGUGGAGACUUGGAGCCGCGAGCUUAGAAAUUAGUGACUUUCAUAACUUAGGACAGGUUAGGUAAGUACAAUAAUUGCCCCAUCCAUUAUUACGCACUCAAAGGGACCCAUUUCACAUUAUCCUGCUCGGGAUGUUUGCAUUUAAUUUGCUGGGCAUUUAUCUGAAAGGAAUAUUCUUUUAGAUGCGUUACAUGCCAAACGAUAGCAAUAAUUAGAACUGUACAAUUUGUAUGAAGAGUUGGAGUCAGUCCCAUUCGCUCUUGAGCUGCUGUGUUUCACAUUUCUAUGUUGCACUACUAUUUUAUGACUCGUCGAGAGAGACAUUCUAUUGUGUCCGGAAAAAAAAAAGAAUUGGAUUUUUAUUCAUUAUUGCAUCGGAUAUGUCAUUGGUGGAGUCAGAACCUUGUGAUAAGGGUGCAAUGACCAAUUUCAGUGUAAAUCAUACUUUUAGGCUUAGUUUGGGAGUUUAGGAUAGAAAAGAAAGGAAGGGAAAACUCAAGUUAUGAGAGAAGAGAAGAGAAGAAGGGAUUGUUAUAUUGUUUGGGAGCGUUGAAAAUUAGUGGAAUGAUUUUGGAUAUGAAAAUCAUUAAAUAUCUGUUUAAUACCUUUUUAAGGACAAAUAGGUAUUUUAAAAAAAUUGAUAAGCUUCUGAUGCGACUGCCGAGAGCGCGUUCCGAGCUGAGCUGCGCUAGGCUGAACGAACUAAGGAUGACUGAACUGGUACUAGCGGGGUGAGCGAGCUGACCUGCAAGAAAGACCGGGGCUGGUUCCUCGGUGUAGCUCUGACGGUCAAGUCAGUACGAGUUUAAGAGUAGGGUAACAACGUAGAUAUUGUUGAUGGCGUACCUUGCUUUGUCUUGUGGUGGUGUAUUUAUAAGAUCCCGAGUAGUAGUUUCCCUAUAGGAUUAGAAGUCCGACUAGAAAGGGAGUCUUUCUAGGGUUUCGUCUGCUAAUUUCGAAAGGUUCGGGGGCUGCGACCCACCAGGCCCAUCCAAUUGGGAGGCGGCGCCCAUGCGCGAACUGUCCUCCCUCCUGCCCGAGCUGUUUGGCCGAACUGCCAGGUCACAAUGUCCGAACUGACACGUGGCUCCUGCGGAUUGGCCCCACUACACUAGCCCCCCUUUGAGUCUAUAGUCAUCGAAAGAUCGCAUGAAUCAGGACCGAAUUUCGAGGUGACGGGUCAGUUCGGUGUGGGACCCAUAAUCCCACGAUUGCUGCCUUUGCUCGAGUAACCGUCACUUCAAGCGUUACGUCCCUUCAUAAUGACGGUUACCAGCCCAAUCGUCGCGCAAUACAGCGGUCUUUCGAUAAAUAAAUUUUAAUUUUAAUUUGGGACGCUUGACAGGUGCUGAACCUGUGCAAUAAUAAUAAUAAAUAAACCUAACUACCACCAACGCAGUCAAUAACCAAUUCUAGGUACUGGAACAGAGACUCUAGGUGUGCAAUGGGUUACUUGAUUCACCCUGUUCCCAAAGAGUUUGCUUAAUCCGAUAUACCAGAAUUAAUUAGUUGACAAAAUUUACUAACUAGUAGACAGUGGCAAGCAGGGUCGUCUCCUCAGGGAUUGGAGAUAUUUGUCUCUUUGAAGUUCCAAUUAGUAAAAAUGGGGGUUUUAUCGGAAUAAAACUAAAAAUAUUUAAGCAAUUCAACUAAAAAUAAAUAAUUAACUAGCACGAAUGUAGACAGGAAUUAAAUCAAGAAUAGAUAAAUUCUAACCAAGAAUACAACUACUCAGACACAGUCCAUUCAUCCAAUCAUUGAUGCAAGAGAUGUUCACUUAAUUUAUUAAUAGAUUAGUUAUAGUCGCCGACGAGCUCUGACGACCAAUUUUUCCUUAAUUUAUUGAUAACCAAGGUACGACAAUUGAUUACUUCUAACCAGAAAAUACUCCUAGGUAGGACCAUAGGAAUUAAUUUCUCAAUUGCAUUAAGAAUUAGAAAAACCUAACUCCAAUCAAUAACACGCUACGAGGGUUAUUCAAAUCAGAUUGCACGUCCCCCUAGUGUGUAAAAACGCUAGUUGCCACUGAUAUUAAUCGAUUAAAUAAUUACGGAUUUAAUUGACUAAUUUGGCAGGAGAUUAAUAAGUCGCAUUGAACAUUGGGCCCUUGACAUUUAAUUAACUAAAUAAUCCCAUAGAAAUUCAAACAGACAACGUGCAAAUAUUAACAAAUUAAGAAACACAUGAAAAUUAAUUCGAUCUCACAGAUAUUCGGGACUGCGUCGUCGCGUUGAUUCUUGACUAGAUGAAAAGCUUAAUCACACCGCAUAAGUAAAUCUCCACGCAAAUUAAUUGAUUCACAAGCCAUCACAUUUGUCACUAGAUAAUCAAGAAGUAAACGAUGUUUCUCCAGUCGGGACUUUUGUCGAACAAGAGUCACGCAUGAAAAGGAAAAGAAAGAAAACUAAACUGUCUCUAAACAAUGACUAAUGCUCCCUCCGUCGUUCUUGCCGCAUUGAGAGAAAAGGUACAAAAAGAAAGCUCUGCCGAAUUCCUGGUAUUUCGUUUCCUCUUGGUAGGAGGACUCCUAGUCAGCAACUCUUCAUCAACAAAAGGAAAAGGGAGUCGUUGCUUAGUACCCUGUGGGCCAGAUUCGUGAAGCUUUUUGAAGUCUCCCACGUGUGGAGCAAUUUUCUCCAACAGGUCCCCCUUUUUAGCACUUUUCAGUUCCACUUCCUGUAGAUGGUCCAAAUACCAAAUAUAAGUAUAUAUUAACAAUUUAAAACAAUAUUUGGUAAGGACAAAAGGGAAAAUUAACAAUAAAAUUACUAACAAUUAACACCCUAUCAAUUCCCCCCAUACCUAAAUCAUGUUUGCCUUCAAGUAUGAGAACAACUAAACCCAACAAUGGUCAACUCUCACGUCAUCUAUUUUCAAGCUGUGUUUAUACCAAAAUCAAGGUUCAGUGGCCAAGUGUCAAGACACAAUCCUCUCGGUUAGCUCCUGAAAUCACAGACUCGUCUAAUUCAUGGCUAACUCAUCUAGAAAAUCAAAAUAUUAAACUAGCAAUAGUCAGGAAUUGGUCCAACUGGCGACCAAAAUCUCAACAUUGAAGAACAAGGAUCGGCAGGCCAACAUGAUCAUAAGCUUACAUAUUUUUCACAUCUGUUCUUUUUCUUUCUUCCUUUUUUUUCUUUUUCUUUUUUUUUCUUUGUUUUUCUUCUUUUUUGAACGAAUAAAUGCUUAGUCCCAAGCCAUUCAAGUCUUUUGACAUGAAUUCUAACAUUUUUAGAUGAAAGAGUUCAGUUACUCAACUUUUCACCGCUUCAAGACCACCUACUCAUAGAUAUCGCCACUGUUUUGACGCGAGAGUCGACACUUGUGGUGACGACUCCCGGUUACUGGGUGACGACACUAGCGAAGUAUAGCCAUAUGUUAUUCACAACAAAACACCAAAAUAUCAGACAAUUAAAGAACAUGGCCCACGUCAUCUCCUAAACAUGGAGAACUAAGGUCAACAGGGGACCAAUCCAUACAACAGUUGCCAGCAAAAUAUUUAUAUUGCCUAAACAAGUUAACCACAAUUCGCACAAAGUUAUUAAACUCACAGUAUUCACCAAGACAAUAUGCUCUUACUUGCCACCGAAGCUAAAUUUAUAGAAUAAAACACAUCUAGCAAUAGAAGAGUGAGUUGCCAAUCAAUUGUUGAUCACCAAGAUAAGCAGUACCAAAAACAAAAAAUAAAGAGACACCAGUUGAACCCCCCCACAACCGAAUGGUACAUUGCCCUCAAUGUAACAAAUAAACAGCAAAAACAAGAAGAAAGGCAACGAAACUUCCCUGAAGUCGGGGUCACAGCGGUGGGUGAGGCGGAAAUGGUGCUUGAUGAAGCGGCAGCGAGUGCAAGAGGCGGUGGCGGCGCUUGGCAGUCGUGCGCGAGGAGGUGGCAAAGGGAAAAAGCAGCGGCGAUAAAGGAGGGUUUCGGCCGAAAUAGAAAAGGGAGAAGGAGAAGCAGGGCAAAAGAGGAAGAAAAGGGAAAGAAAGAAAGAAAAGAAAAAAAGAAAGAAAAAAAGAAAAAUAGUUUUUUGGGGUUUUCUCUCUUUUUUUUUUAAGUCAAAAUUUAAAAUUUGGUAUUUGAAAAUCGAAAUUCUGAGUUGAACGGGAAAUAUUUUUAAUUUUCAAUUUUUUAAUUUUUAAUUUUAAUUUUUUAAUUUUAAUUUUUUUUUAGGAUCUUGGGUCGUCAAAUAUGACGUGGGCACGCCAAAAUUAUAAAACGUCCAUUGACCUUGGGAGUCACUUUUUGCAACUUAACGCGUGCCCUCCUCGCGUAGGCACGCCAAGAUUCCAUUUCCUGCUGACGUCGCGAGAUGUUGAGAUUUUACCAACAUGGCGUGGGCACGCCAAGAUUGAUAAACGUCCACUGACCUUGGGAGUCACUUUUUGCGUGCCCUCCUCGCGUGGGCACGCCAAGAUUCCCUGUCCUGGUCACAGUGGGAAAAAAUAUGAAAAUUGACUAGUAGCCAAAUGAGAAACGACAAAUCGAAAGAAUUAAACAACAAAACAAAAAAAAAUAACAAAACAAAUAUUUGGAUUGCCUCCCAAAAAGCGCCUUUCUUUAACGCCUUUGGCUAGACGUUAAACAUCACUUCAAUUUGGAUGUAAUUCAAUUUUCGUUGUAAUUUGUGGCCUUCCUCCGGGAUCCAAAUAGCCAUUGAGUGUAACUUUUUUCCUUAAUUUUUUACUCAUUUUCACCUCAUGAAUUGCUUUCAUCCCAUGAUACUUGUUCGCAGCAACUUUAAAUUUACCCCUACAAGUAAAUUCAGAAAAUUCUUGCACAGAGGGAUUAGUAGCAUGCAUAGCGAACACAGAGUGAGAGUUUAUAGGAUGUUUCAUUGUAUCAAAAAUAUUAAAAUGGACUAUUUCUCCAUCAAAUUUCAUUGUAAGAGUACCCUUACUAACAUCAAUCUUAGUUUCGGCAGUACUCAAGAAUGACCUUCCUAAUAUAAUGGGUGAUGGAUUUGGGGCACUUUCAUCAUCCAUGUAAAGCAUAUAAAAAUCAGCAAGAAAAAUUAAUCCAUCUACUUGCACUAAAACAUCCUCAACUACCCCAUCCGGGUAAGCAAAUGUACGAUCAGCCAAUUGAAUUAUUAUCCCUAUUUCUUUCAAAGGUCCUAAAUUUAGAGAAUCAUAGAUUGAUUUAGGCAUUACAUUAAUAGAAGCUCCUAAAUCUAGCAUGGCAUUUUUUAUAUUAGAAUGUCCAAUCUUACAGGGGAUAGUAAACAUACCUGGAUCCCCAUAUUUAGGUGGUAGUUUCCUUUGUAGAAACGCUGAAACGUUCUCACCUACCACAAUAUGCUCAUCCCCCCUCAUCUUCUUCUUGUUGAUACACAAGUUUUUCAAGCAUUUAGCAUAUUUUGGCACUUGCUUGAUCGCGUUCAACAAAGGGAUAUUGAUUGCCACCUUUUGAAACACUUCUAGAAUCUCAUUUUCCUUAUCUUGCUUCUUCGAUUUCUCCAACCUGCUAGGAAAAAGCGGUGGGUUAGUUUUAACUAUAAUGAAUGGGUCCAGGAGUACCUUUGGAUCCUUGUUGCUUCUGCCCUGCUCUUCAAACUCUUUCUCAAUUCGUUCCUCAUCCUUGUCCUUAGGAAUCACGAGCUCGGGUCCUUGGAUUUGCUUUCCACUCCUCAAGGUCAUUGCGCUCACAUUCUUCAAGUUCAGUUCAGGUUGAGACGGCAAUUUUCCAUAAGUUUGAGAUUCCAGGUAGUUGAUUGCUAUUGCCAUCUGACUCAUCUGACUCAUCUGACUCUACAUUACUUGCACCUGUCCCAGUUGAUUCCUCAUAUUUUAUAGGUCAGAAUCCGUCUUUUACUGAUUAGCAAUUAAUUGCUUCAUCAUCUCUUCCAUAGACGGGCUUGAGUUUGAAGGGGGUGGUGGCAGGCGAGAUUGAUACUGUUGUUAGUACCCUUGUUAUCUAUUUGGUGCAAAAUUCGACUGCCUAUUUCCUCCAUAACUAAAGUUAGGAUGAUCUCUCCAACCCGAAUUGUACGUAUUGGAGUAUGGGUCGUAUGGCUGUCUUGGCGCGGGCGCGUGACCAGCCAUGUUCACUUGUUCCUCACUUUCUUCCUGAACCAAUGGACACAUCUCUGUAGAGUGACCCAAGGUAGCGCAUAUCCCACAUACCUUGGCUUGUGAGGCACUUUCCACAGCUAGUUAUCGCACGAAAGACGUCAAUUCAGAGAUUUGUUGUUGGAUGGAGGAUGUUUCUACCUCAUUCAUCGUACGCGUCGGGGUGUCCUCUCUUGAACUGAACUGCUGUGAAUUCUCAGCCAUCCCUUCAAUCAACUCCUAUGCUUCUCGAGGAGUCUUGUUCACCAAUGCUCCUCCACUCGCAGCAUCGAUUAUACUUCUGUUCCUGAAGAGUAAUCCCUCAGAGAAAUAUUGGAUGAGCAGUUGCUCACUUAUCUGAUGCUGAGGGCAUUUGAUGCACAACUUUUUAAACCUCUCCCAGUACUCAUAGAGGGACUCGUCUGGGUGUUGUUUGAUACCGCAUAUCUCCUUCCUCAGACUUGCAGCUCGAGACGCAGGAAAAUAUUUGUCCAAGAAUUUUUUCUUCAAUUGGUCCCACGUGGUAAUAUUACCUGGUGGUAGGUAGUACAACCAGUCUUUUGCAGAGUCCUUCAAGGAGAAGGGGAAGACCCUCAUUUUUAUCUGCUCUUCUGUGAUUCCCGGGGGUUUCAUACUGUUACAAACGACGUCGAAUUCUUGCAAGUGCUUAUAGGGCUCCUCUCCUGGUAGACCAUGGAAAGAUGGCAAGAGGUGAAUUAGAUCAGAUUUUAGUUCAAAGGGAGUGUUAUCAUUCAAACUUGGGAAAGUAAUGCAUAAAGGUUGCUGAUUUAAAUUAGGAGCAGCGAACUCCCUUAAUGUUCGUGCAUUAGUCAUAGUGACUUUCUCUUGAUCCGAGUCACUCGAAGUGUCACCAAACGAAUCUGUUGGUUCAACUUCUAGCUCAGGUCUCUGAAAUGUAUCACUGAAGUGCUCUUCUCUGAGUUGUCUGGUCUCUUUCCUUGUUCUACGCACAGUCUUCUCUACCUCGGGGUCGAAAAUUAAUUCACCUGUACAAGAAGAACGAGGCAUACACUUGAAAAGAAUUAAAAAUUAGAAAAAAAUGAACUUAAAAAGAAGCAAAUAACUGACGCCAAUCCCCAGUAACGGCACCAAAAAUUGACAGGUGCCAAACCUGUUCAAUAAUAAAAUAAAUAAACUAACUACCAUUAACGCAGUCAAUAAUCAAUUCUAGAUACUGGAGCAGGGACUCUAGGUGUGCAAUGGAUUACUUGAUUCCUGUUCCCGAAGAGUUUGCUUAAUCCGAUAUACCAGAAUUAAUUAGUUGACAAAAUUUAUUAACUAAUAGACAGUGGCAAGCAGGGUCGUCUCCUCAGGGACUGAGGAUAUUUGUCUCUUUGAAGUUCCAAUUGGUAAAAAGGGGGGUUUUAUCGGAAUAAAACUAAAAAUAUUUAAGCAAUUCAACUAAAAACAAAUAAUUAACUAGCACGAAUGUAGAAAGGAAUUAAAUCAAGAAUAGAUAAAUUCUAACCAAGAAUACAACUAUUCAGACACAGUCCAUUCAUCCAAUCAUUGAUGCAAGGGAUGUUCACUUAAUUUAUUAAUAGGUUAGUUAUAGUCGCCAACGAGAGUUCUGACGACCAAUUUUUCCUUAAUUUAUUGAUAAUCAAGGUACGACCAUUGAUUACUGCUAACCAGAAAAUACUCCUAGGUACGACCAUAGAAAUUAAUUCUCCAAUUGCAUUAAGAACUAGAAAAACCUAAUCCCAAUCAAUAACACGCUACGAGGGUUAUUCAAAUCAGAUUGCGCGUCCCCUUAGUGUGUAAAAAUGCUAGUUGCCACUGAUAUUAAUCGAUUAAAUAAUUACGGAUUUAAUUGACUAAUUUGGCAGGCGAUUAAUAAGUCGCAUUGAACAUCGGGCCCUUGACAUUCAAUUAACUAAAUAAUCCCAUAGAAAUUCAAACAGACAACGUGCAAAUAUUAACAAAUUAAGGAACACAUGAAAAUUAAUUCGAUCUCACAGAUAUUCGAGACUGCGUCGUCGCGUUGAUCCUUAACUAGAUGAAAAGCUUAAUCACGCCGCAUAAGUAAAUCUCCACGCAAAUUAAUUGAUUCACAAGGCAUCACGUUUGUCACUAGAUAAUCAAGAAGUAAACGAUGUUUCUCCAAUCGGGACUUUUGUCGAAAAAGAGUCACGCAUGAAAAGGAAAGAAAGAAAACUAAACUGUCUCUAAACAAUGACUAAUGCUCCCUCCGUCGUUCCUGCCGCAUUGAGAGAAAAGGUACAAAAAGAAAGCUCUGCCGAAUUCCUGGUAUUUCGUUUCCUCUUGGUAGGAGGACUCCUAGUCAGCAACUCUUCAUCAACAAAAGGAAAAGGGAGUCCGUUGCUUAGUACCCUGUGAGCCAGAUUCGUGAAGCUUUUUGAAGUCUCCCACGUGUGGAGCAAUUUUCUCCAACAGGUCCCCCUUUUUAGCAUUUUUCAAUUCCACUUCCUGUAGAUGGUCAAAAUAUCAAAUAUAAGUAUAUAUUAACAAUUUAAAACAAUAUUUGGUAAGGACAAAAGGAAAAAUUAAUAAUAAAAUUACUAACAAUUAACACCCUAUCAACGCUUCGUCUUCCCGCUCUGGUGGCCUAUAAAUAGGCUCCACUAGAUGUCACUUUCACGCUUUCUUCCUCAUUUUCUCAGCUCCCCAUCUUUUACUCAGCUCGCUCAUCUCCUCCUCCUACGAGAGUUAGUUCGGGCGUCCUGUCAAGAGUUCAGUCGUGCACUGCUGUCCGUGCGUCUCCCCUAAGCACCACUGAGCGCUCGAGCUCUUUUCCCCUACUCUUACUAGUAAGUUCCUUUUCUCCCUCCUUUUAUAUCUUCUUCCUCUGAGCAUUCUGACAUAACUAGUUCGGCCCCUAGGCGUAGAGUAGCCCGACCUGUACCCAUAAAGGUCAUCUCUUCCUCUCCUUCUCCUUCCAGUUCUUCACCUUCCAGCUCGUUAGAGUCAGAAUAUAUUCCUUCCCCUGCUCUUUCUCCUGUUCGAGCAAUGGCUCAACCCGAACAGCCUAUUCAGCCGAACAACCUAUUCAGCUUGCAGCUAGAACUGCUGCCAAGCAGUUCCACUUGAGGCAACUCCUCUACGAGCUAGGGCAGGGCCCUCCAGGGGGCCCGAUAUUGACUUCGGUGAAGUGGAUCUUAUCCCUCCCAUCCUGGAUCAGGGGGAUGUGGACGAAUAACCCAGCUCAUCCCUCCCAAAGGGGACUAGUGUUGUGGGGCCAAUCCGCAGGAUCGGGAUCGGGACGAUAAGGUUGUCAUGUAAUUGAUGCGACUGCCGAGAGCGCGUUCCGAGCUGAGCUGCGCUGGGCUGAAUGAACUGAGGAUGACCGAACUGGUACUAGCGGGGUGAGCGAGCUGACCUGCAAGAAAGACCAACGGCGGGACUGGUUCCCUGGUGUAGCUCCGACGGUCAAGUCAGUAAGAGUUUAAGAGUAGGGUAACAGCGUAGAUACUGUUGAUGGCGUACCUUGUUUUGUCUUGUGGUAGUGUAUUUAUAAGAUCCCGGGUAGUAGUUUCCCUAUAGGAUUAGGAGUCCGGCUAGAAAGGGAGUCUUUCUAGGGUUUUGUCUGCUAACUCCGAAAGGGUCGUGGGCUGCGGUCCACCAGGCCCAUCCAGUUGGGAGGCGGUGGCCAUGCGCGAACUGUCCUCCCUCCUGCCCGAGUUGUCUAGCCAAAUUGCCAGGUCACAAUGUUCGAACUGACACAUGGCUCCUGCGGAUUGGCCCCACUACAGCUUUCUUAAACUUUUUUCUCAUUUCUUUCCAAUUUGGAAGGAAAAAUUUUGGCUACUAUUCAUGCUCUUAAAUUCUUCCACUUCCUUUCUUUUCUUUCCUACUAAAAACUAACAAAUGAAGGAAAAUUUAACUUUUUCUUCUUUCCAUUUCUUUUCUGUCCAAAUCCUCCACUCCCAAACGAGCCCUUAGAUUUAUAUAAUAAAUAUACAGUGUGCUUUUGAUUUAAAAAGUGAAAUCCUUUUUUUUCUAUUAGUGUUUAAUUUGAAAUAAAUCUUAAAUUUUUGUUAGAGAUAAUCAAUAUAAAGUAUUUUUUUGGAGUAAAUGUAGAAUAAGUGAGGAAUAUAUAAAACUUCAAAAGAUAACCUAUAUAAAGAAGGGAAUUUUCUUAAAUUUGACUUACAAAUGAAAGAGAGAAUUUUAUAAAAUUCAGGGGUGCAAACAUGGUAUAAACUUAAAAAUUUUGAAAAAUUUGAAGGCCGUUGUACAAUUUUAUCAAAAUUGAGGGGGCCGGGGAGGGAGGGCAAUUGUCUACUCCUCAAUCCUAUGUGGCUGGAAUACUUAUCAAUGGAAUAGAUAGUAUAAUAAGAUUUUAACAGCAAAAAUUGUAGAAAAAGGGAUUCUUUGCCGAACUAUUCGACCCAUAAUCUGAAGCAUGUAGUGUUUUGGAGCAAGGGGGUAAGGUGGGAUCAACUCCAUGGCUCAGAGAGGCAAAGUGCCAUUCAUCGCCUAAUAGAUAAAUCCUUCUCUCAGUUAAAAGCCACACUGGUUUGCAACUAUCAAUUUGAAAAAAGAAAGCUAAUUUAAGAGGCAAUAUUUUAAGUUGUUUAAGGAAUAAAAAUGUUGAAAAAGCAUGAACUCAACUUUGGCCUACAAUAGGUUUUUUUUCUGUCUCAACAAUUCUUUUCUUAAUAUUCUUUUUAACUUUAGUGCUGUCAAUUUACUUCAUGGCCCAAAGGCAAAAAAACAAAGACUAGUGAUUGACACAAGAACAAUCUUUAAUGCAAAUUUCAAACUCAUUAAGAAAUGAGAGUGUGAAAUAAACAUUCAACGCGAAGCAUCUAAGCUGGAUCGCAGGCUGGAUGACAUUGAAAUUGUGGUGAAGAUAAGUUUUCAAAGUCUCUUUCAUUUCAGCUUACCUGUUCAUUGAUAGUUUCAUGCUUUAUGAUAAAAUUUUUUUCUUGAGCACUUUAUGAAAAGAAUAUUUAACUCAGUUUGCUCACUAACUAAUGAUUACACAAGCACUCAACUUCCGCACAUUUGCACGGGCUUAAUCUUGUAUUCUUUCUUUUUUUUUUAAUAAAAAUAUUAUUAUUUUAUUAAAUCUAUACUAGUGACAAAAAUUAUAUAAAUAAUAUACGGAUACAAACAGAUCUAAAUAGCAAGUGCUAAAUGUUACAGAUCUGAAAAAUUAAUAGAAUAUUAUACAGUGGAACUCACAAAAAUCAAAUGAUAAAACAUUUAUUGCUAAGAUUAUCUAUGCAUGCUUCCAAUUGUACGGUUUACUUCUUCCAGAUGGUAGGGUGAAAUCUGAGGGAUACAUUUAAAAAUUUUCAAAUCUGGCAAUCAACUUCGAAAAAACAAAAAAGAUCUAACACAAGAAAUAGAAAAACUACAAAAAGUCUCACCAGGAAUCCCACAAAAUCACGAUCGCCAUCUUUACAGCAGCCAUCGUCAACCAUUUGAUCUUCAAUUUUACCGUCUUUGGAACAAAAUUUUUCAUUAGAUUUCAUCAUAUAGCCCAAUCUUGCAGUUCAUCGUCACUGUGCCAGCACUGAAGUAAGCCCUCUUUUCCAAAUUUUCUUUUUUUGUAACUUGAAAUUUGUGUGAAUUAAUAUGCGCAACCUAUGGAUGUUUGGAUCUUUCAUAUUAUUAGUCUCCUCGAAUUUGUUCCUUUGUUCAUUCGUAUGCAAUUUUUUAAUCACAUAUUCUGUUUACCUGAGGAAGUCUGAAUUGUGAUGAAUUUUGUAUUGAUUCAAUAUCAAAUUUGAUUAAAGGGAAAAAGAAACUGCCCUACGAUCAUAGCAUGUAAGCAUGAUGGAAAAAUGCCUAAACUAAAUACAUUGUUGUUCACUGUUUUUUUUUCUUUGGUGUAAUUGGAUAUUGAAACGGUUGAAGAAAGGGAAAGGAAAAUUUAGGAUUGAAUUGGGGUGUUGGCACUUGCAAUUGAUCUGCAGGUGUUUUUUGUUUUCUUACAGUUGAUCAUGACGGAUUAUUAUGGACGAGUUCCAUGGGAAUUAUCAUCAGUUACAAAAAGAAAAUAAACGGGAAGUGCUUCAUAGAAUGGUAUCCUGAGAUAGUGAUUGUGAAAUCAGUAGCCAUCGCAAGUGGAUUGUCAAAAUUAAAGAUGUAAAGACAUAUAAGACUGCAGCUGGAUUGUGAUGGCUAAUCUUAUCCUAUGUAGUGAAACUUCUUGAUCUAUGAAACUCAUGUACAACAUGAGAUAUAUGUACACCAGUUAAUUUAUUUGGGUCUUUACAAGUAAAUUUUCACUUCAGAUUUAUUGUAGUGUUAUUUGAAACCAUGAAAACAGCAGAGAGAAGUUGAUCAUGAAAAAAACUACUAUAGCUGACAAGAUUGGCGUUAUUUGGAUUGUCGGUUUUCACUUAAAAAUUUUGAAGUAUUUUCUCAAUAUAUUUUUCAAUCACUUUUUUAACUCACAUACAUCACAUUAUUAUAAUAUAUAUAUAUAUAUAUAUAUAUAUAUAUUUAACGAAACUCUAUAAACUUACAAUUCAAACUGUAACUUUUCAUUGUAGUGCGUCCUUUAAAGUGACUUUCAUUUUAGUCCGUCCAUUUUAAGUGAUUUUAGUGCGUCCACUUCAAUUCAUGCACAGGAAGGACCGGUCCCAGAAUUCUGUAGCAGGACAAUGAUUUAGCGUGGCCUGGAAAAUUCUAUGGAAACAAGGCAAGAAUGUCACCUUUGGGGUGUCCAAUAAUGUUAGUGUCAAUCAACCUCACUAUUAAAAGAAGAAAAGAUUGUUGAUAAAUCCAUACAUCAAAUCCGUAUUCAAUAUCUUUACUCGAAAUUGUGCUCCCCCAAGGAAGUACAAGUAAACUUUUACCCAUCAAAUUUGCAUAAACAAUUUUGUGGCCUAGAGAAAAGUUCAACCUAGGAUGUUCAAGUAUAAGAUAAACAUGAAUGAAGGGAGAAGGUUGAUUGAGGCCCUAUUCAUCCUCAAAUUUGAUUACAUAUUCCAAUCUAUUGCCACAAAAAAAAAAAAUCAUGCUCAGCAAAAAUUAUUUUAAAAUAUAUGAAUAUAUGUGAAAGAGGAAGAGAAUAAAUACACAAUAUAACUUAAUAGUUUUAUUAACUAAACUCAACAAUAAUGCUCACAAAUAACAAGUUCUGAGUACUUCUAAUCUAAUUGGGUGUGUGUGUUUCUGUCUAUAAGAGAGAGGAGUAUCUCUCUCCCAACAUGAUAAAUGUUUAUAACUUGCUGAACUUUAAUAACCGGGACAUUAGGAAAUAUUUCUUUCCCGCAUCAACUUCGAAAUUCUUCUACUUACUAAACCAACAAAUAAAAAAACUUGCCACAUAAGUAAUUUAAUUUAAUAAUUAGGCUUGGUUUAAUUAUCUACACAACCAUUUGUCAGAUUUCUUGGGCAAUUACGUAGUCAACCCAACCUUGCUAACUGUCAGCGUAGAAGGACCUUAGAAAUUAAAUAACAGCUUAUCAUGCACUGCAUAAAAUACGUUUAUCUGUAGAGCUCGAGCUCGUAAUCAAUUUGUGAGUCACACUGAUCAAUUUGUGGGUCUUAGAGGUUUGAAGUUAAGAGGUAAUUCCGGCGAGAUUUGGAGUUGGGAAUUUUUUUUAUUUGUUUUCUUGCCUCCCAAGAUCUUAUUCUCCUUUAUUCCUUUGUUUGUUAUUACUUCUUUUUUUUUUUAAUGAGUUUUAAGAAGUUAUGGUGAUAGUGGUGGUUAAGAGGUUGAUGAUGAUAGUGGUGAUGGGAUGAUCAAGAGGUUGGUGUUGAUAGUGUGAUGUUCGGCUAAUGAAGACUGUGAGAUUUGGUAUGGAUUAUUACUUGAUUUCUAUUUCUUUUGAUGAAUUUUUAGAUAUUAAUUUGUGCUUUUUGAAGGGAUUUUGUCUGAGGAAUAUUUGUAGGGUUUAUGAAUUUGACUUUAUUCAGAAGAUGAAAAUAAAGGAAGGGUUAUUUUUGGAGGUUUGGUAAAUUUGAGGGUAAACAUGUAUAAUCUCUCUCUCUUUAUCAGAUUUAACUUAGUUUGUAAAUUGUGCAAAAAAUUAGAAGUUGAAGUAAUGGACUGCUAAAUUUAAAGUUUGGGAUGCAAGUUCCAAUUGCGAAAUUGUUGAGGGGUGCAAAUUACAAUUAACACUAUUUCUAUUUUAUUUUAUAUAUACAACUUGUUAAAGGACAACUAAGGAGGCAAUGGGGCGGGGUUGGGGUGGGGGACCCCAUCUCCGUCCGCUGCCCUACUGCCUACAAAUUCCCCCCCCCCGCGCCCAUCCCCAUCCCCCGCUUCUCCGGUGGCCUAAUAAAAAUUUAUUAUAUAAUUUUAUUAUAGUUAAAUUUUAGCAAAUAAUCAAGUACUAAAAUAUCAAUACAUCACCAAAUUAUUAUUCAUUGUAAUUUCACAAUUGAAACUUAUAAAAACAAUCAAACAAAAGUUAUUUGAAUACAAUCCAAUAGGAUGAAAUAAAUACAACUAAAGUAGUCAAGUUUCACUUUGGCACAAAUACAAUCACUAAUUCAUUAUUGUGCUUGUGCUUUUUUUGAGAAAAAAUGUUAUUGUAUUAAGUGUAAUUAGGGAUGUAGUAUAAAUGUAUUAGUAAAUUUAGUAUAACUGGUGGCUGUCAAACUACAAAAAUAAAAUUUAUAUUAGACCUACUACCAAAACUAAACAAGUAUAGUGGUAAGUAGGGUCGUCUCCUCAGGGAACCGGUAGAUUUAUCGCACACAGGUAAUUGGGGAAUUUUUGAAGAGAGAGAGAUAAGUGAAACAAAUUAAAGACAUAAGAUUACUAAAUAAACAAUCGCAAUAAAUGCAAUAACUCAAGAAUGAAAUAAACAAUUAAUUGACACAACCUAGUCAAGGAGAUAAUCUCGGCACCGGUUCACACAAUGAUUAUAGAUACCAGGAUAAUUCACACGUUCGCGAAUAAAUUGGUUCUAUCAAUUUAGCAACCGCCAAACUCCCAAUCUCUCCUUAAUUAUAUGGUAGUCCAAAGACGCUCUUAAACUACCCUAUUGUAAAUUAGAUAACCCCAGAGACACUCGAAGGAUUUAAUCUAAUCACAACUUUAGGAAUUAGAGAACCCAAUUCUAGUUAACAAACACACAUGCGGGUUCAUUUAAACUAGAUUAAUUAUUCCCACGACCCAGAUUAGAUUAGACUGCUUGCGAGGCAAUGAAAUUGUGCCAUUCGCCACUAAUUUAAAACAUUCAAGUGAUACGCACGCCUGUCCUAAUUGGCAAUAUAUUAUUUAGACAAUUGAACAACUGGCCAUAUUGAUCCAAUCAAUCCAAACAAUAACAGGCAAUUCAAACAAAGAAUAAUUAAAUACUCACAAACGCAGAAUUUAGAAUAAACAAAAUGAUCUCACAAUUAUUCAUGCUCCGGGCCUUGAUACUCCUCAACUAGAUAAAGAAAUUAGCCUUGCCGCAUAACGACGAAGCAAUUCAAAGUUUUCAUAGUAAUUUCGUUCAUGAAGAAAUCAAAAGUACGUCGGCUAGUUCUAACAAAGAUAAAAGCAAACGAGAAAAAGGUCCAAGUCAGAAGAUGAGAUCCCUAAUCUAUUGCAAUCUUCCUAUUUGUAGUGUCGCCGCCGCUUCCCCUUGCUUUUCGAAUUAGAAUUUGUUUCUCAAAAGGAUUUGCGUCCUUAUUUUCCUCCUUGAAUUGUUGCCAAAAGUCUUCUUUGAAAAGGCUUCCUAAUCCCACGCAGGUUCAAAAGGUGUCUCCAAAGAAUAGCGAAAGCUCCAGGGAUAACUGACGGUGGCUCCGUCUUUUUCACGCAGCUCUGCGUUAUCUGGCGUGGGCACCCAGAGAAUGCCUAGCCUUCUGGAAUUUGCCCUCCUCUUGUCACUUUUAACACACUCUCUCUGCAAAUAACACAAAUACCAAAUAUGGGCAGAAAUCCAGUGUCUUACACAUUAAGACCAAAUAACAGCGAAUAAAACACACAAUUAUCUCCCUAUCAAUAACCAAUUAAUAAUUUGUAUUAGUACAUAUAUAUAAUUAUUAGUAUAAUUGAUAAUAUCAAUUAUAUUACAUAUACUAAUAUACAUUAUAUAAUACAUAUAACUAAUAAUAUCAUUAUCAUAAGUUUGUAACUAAUUAAAUUAUAUAUUAUAUAUAUAAUUAUAUACAUAGAUAUAUUAUAUAUUUAUUUUUUUAAAGCGGGUGGCGGGGAGGAGAUAGGGCGGGGGUACACUCCCCUGUCUCCCACCCCAUUUCUAAGCCCCAGGGGUGGGGGGGGGGAAUUCCCCUCGGCCCCGUACCACCUCCCACCCCAUUAUCCCCCGCGGGACGGGUACCGGCGGCCACCCGCCCCAUUGCCAUCCUUAGGGACAACUGUCGUAUUAAGAGAAAUAUUUUAAAGGGAUAAUUUCAUAAACCUCCCCUGAGGUUUUUGAUAAUUUUAUGUGGCUCCCUUAAAGUUUCAAAAAUUACAUCUACCUCCCUUACCCAUUUAAAAUGACAAUACUAAUCUUAAUAUUUUAAUAAAACUCUCUUACUUCCAUGUUUAUAAAAAGGAUGGAUUUUACAAUUUUUUUUCUUUUUUCCUUCUUAUUCAUUUCUCUUAUAUUUCAUUAGAAGUAUAAAAGAACUAUCAAUGUUGUCGCUAAUAUCUAUCCAAAUCAAACUUUAAACUAGUAAUUUUUUUGAUGACUUUUAAUAUCAUCCAAUUUUUUGUAGCUCUUUUUUUUGUAUCAAAAUCAAGAAUAAAUCAACAAUAAUUAAAACACAAAUGGCCCAAAAUCACUACCAAACUAUGGUAGUUCUAUCACUAAACUAGUCCAUAAACUUUUAUUAAAAAAAUAGUCCAAAAAUUUCAAAAGCACAAGGUAACACUUUCUUGUCUAUCUUAAAAAGAAUCUAUAUUCCCAAUAAAGCACUAUAAAAAAUAGCUUAUCAUAGCAAAAGAUUUAUUGUUAUAGUUGAUUAUUAAAUAACAAAUAUUGACAUGAAAAACUUGGGACUCUUUUAUAUAUAUAUUAUAUAUAUAAUUGUGUCAAAUUACUUUACAAUUGUUUAAAAGAAUGAAUUGAACUUUAUAAUUAUCAUCAAACUUUGGCAAUCAACCUUUCCUUACUUUAUCGAUAAUCAGAGUAUGGUCACUAACUACUUCUCUGACUAAAAGAUAACCCAAGGUACAACCAUAGGAUUAAAUCUUUUAACAGCACCAAGAAUUAAAAAAACCUAAUUCUAAUCAACAAACAUGUUGCAAGAGUUCAUCUAAAUUAUAUCAUAUAUUUCCUGACAUAGACCCAAUUAUGCUAGUCAACACAAAUAUUAAAACAGACAAACAAUUACAAAUUUAAUUAUUUCAAUUGACAGUAGACUAUUGUGAAUAAUCAAAUAUUGGCCACUUAUUUAAUUACACACAAUAAUCAUCAUACACGUAAUACAGGAGAUAUACAAAUACCCACGAAUAGAUGAAACAGUAAACUUAAAUUAGAUAUCAUAAUUGUUUGUAGAACCAAGUUUUUGAUUAUCCUCUAAUUAGAAAGAAAAUUUAGCCACUUCUUAUGGAGAAAUGCAGCCAAGAAAAUUAGGUUUUUGUCUUGAGAGAAGAAAAAAGAUAAACCACCUAACUACGAUGACAAAGUGUAGAGAGAGUUGGGAAUUAGAUAUCGAUAUUCUCACCCUAACAAUCUAUAUGAUAAUCUCCUAAAAAUUAUUCCAAUAAAAGGAAUUAUCUUCCAUACUGGAAUAAUCUAUUUUCGUAGAUAAUGAUAUAAUAAUAUCCUUACUAACUAGUUGCAUCCAAAAAUAAAGUUUUCAAGGCUGCAGAGAAUCAAUCAAUUAUUCUCUUUAAUUGUUGAAAUUAAUCUCAGGUCCCACAACUUCUGAAUUUCCUAGGCUCUUUAAGGCGUGCCCAUACUUUUAUAGCAAAUAGACUUUUCAGCAACUCUUUUUAGUCCUCUUUCAUCCCAAAUUCUUAUGACAUCACUAAAACACAAAAUAUAAGUAGAAUCCACAAAAUAACACAAUAAUCUACUAAAAUGAAAGGAGAAUUGACACAAACUAUAUCUCAAUUAGGCACACUAUCAUUUAGUGACACAUGAUGAUGUAAGUAAUAUUACAUUAUUAUGAUGAUAUAUGUGCUCUUGAGUAUGCACCACAUCGUCCAUGAGUGGUUCCGAAAAUCAAGUUUUUAAGAAGGUUUUAAAACUGGAAAUCUUACCGGGUCAUAGGUUAUUAGUUCAAUCGUUAGGCUACAUGCUGUGUUUUCAGACUCGGACCGGAUCGGCCGGUCGGACCGGUUGGACCGGGAACCGGCCAGGCAUCCGGUCCGAGUUAGUUAAAAAACUCGGAUGUUAUAAAAUCGGUCAAACCCGGUCCGGUGAACCGGAAAUUUUGAUUAACCCCGGUUUUUUUUUCUUUUUCGGCCUUUUUUUAGUCAGAGUUUGACAAAUCGGACAAAAUUGAAAAUUGACAAGGUCACAAAACUUGCGUCGGCUACUCUGCUGCUUCUCUUCUCAUACAUUUUCUUCCUUUCUUGACUUUCUUCUUCAGAUCUCCACCGCAUCUCUUGAGAUUCAUCGAUCAUCCUUCAAUCUCUAGCCUCCACCGCCGCAACAGCCACCAGUUCCUUCAGAUUUCAAGACAAUCAAGUAAUUAGCAUGCGGGUGAACUGAAGCUUUGUUUGGUAAUUUUUACAAUCUGAAGGUUAUUAUUGCUGAUUCGUUAUGCUAAAGUUGAUAUGUGACUGGAAUUUUUUGAUUCAUUAUGCUGGACAUUUGGGAUUUGGAUAUUACGGGUGUGACUGAGAAGCUGGAGUGUUUAAUUAUAUUUGGGAUUUGGGAUUGGAAUAGUGGGGUCAGGGGAUCAGGGAAAACGGCUCUUACACGGAAGGUGUUUGAUAUUUUGCCUGUGAGGAGGAUGUUCUCACCGAGGAUUUGGGUUUCUUAUAUGAUACCCUUCAUGAUGAACCGGUGAGCGUAGACUUGAGAGUGAAGAUAUUGAGGAAAAUGCUAGAGGCAGUCUGGUUGUGAUGUCUCGGAAAUGAUGACUACCUAUGUUGACAUUCCCAAGCUCACUCAGAAGCUUUACCAACGGUUAAUGGGCAAGAAACUGAGUUCUCACUUCUGGUCUAUCUUCGCUUGGAUGUUCAAAGUUCCAUGCAGCCAUCAAUGUAAAUUUCUGUGAUAUUUGUCUCUAAGCAAUGAAAACUUAUUUUGUCUUUUGUCUUAAAAAAAAAAGAUUGAUAUUUAUCAAGCAUUUGAACAUGAACUUGCUACCUUAUUUGGAUUGCUAUUUUUUAAGGAUUAAACAUGUAUGGGAUUUCUAUUUUAUAAAUUUUGUGAGUUUGGAUGAAUUUGGUUAUAUUUUGUAAAUUUGAUUUGCAGGUAUAUAUAUAUAUAUAUAUAUAUAUAUAUAUAUAUAUAUAUAUAUAUGAGGUAUAUAUGAUGUCAUCCGGGUCGACCCCCUAUCGACCCCCGUCGAAUCCAUUGACCCCACGACCUGACCUCGACCGAGUCGAGUCCUGGUCCGAGUCUGAAAACAUAGGCUAAAUGUUACCAAGUCAUUGUUAAUCUGUGACAUCAUAUAUAUCAUAAAUAAUUAAUGUCAAAAAUCGUUCAAUACGUCCCUUAUAUUUUGCUAAAUGAUUUUUUUGGUCCUUCGCUUUUAAAAUGUUAAUUUUAUAUCUAUUACAAAUUCAAGUUAGCAAAAUUUGGUUCCAAUCUAAAUUUUUGACUACUUUUUAGCCUAAGAUCGCCAUGUGACCUAUAUGCAAUCAUUUUUUAUGUAAAAAAAAAAUGUCAAAUACCACUUUUUUAGUGAUAAAAAUAAAUAUGGAUUGGGUCAAAUUCCAUUUUUGUUUUAAAAAAAUGAAUAUGAUUUGGAUUAGAUCAUACUUUUUAAAGUAAAAAUGAAUAUGGAUCGAAUAAUUUAUUUAACUACAAAUGGGAUGUAACCACUGUUUAAUACUAACAACUGUUAAGUGGAUAGGAACACGAAUAGUAAGAAAUUUUGGAUUUUGUAAACAAUUUUGAGCAAAAUUAUAAUUUUUUAAAGGUGAAAUGAUAGAAACUUAAAUAUGAGGUAACAUUGAAAUCUAAAAGUAAGUAUGAGGGCUAAAUGGUAAAAUGUCAAAAAGUAUAGUGCGUUAAUCGUUUCCUAUAAUUAUAUAUGCUAAUGUGGGGCCACAUUUUUUUUUUUUAAAAAAGAAAAGCAAGACUCAAAACGGUUUAGUAAAAACACGUCGACGGUUCGUUGGUCCGACCAAACGAUCUAGUUGGUUUUUACUAUCUAGACCGAUUUUUUGAUCCGUCUUAGUUUGAGACUUGGUUUAGUUCAGAAAGCUACUCGAUCAAUAGUUCAAUCAGUUCGCUCAAACAGUCAAAACUGAGUUUUAUAAUAUUAGUUUUUAUUUAAAUAUUUUCAAUACCCAUUUAUAAGAUUAUGGCAUUUGUAAGUUCUCCAAGAACCAAAAAUAAAAAGAUAUUUGUGCUAUAGUUGAAAUGAUGAGUGAAGAAAUUUACUGAUGCUGUCAAUAAUGUAUCGACGGGAUACUUAAGCAACGAAUAAUACUUUUCUUUGGGUAAACUAUCAAGUAUUAUUGAUGAAGCACAUAUUACACGAACCUCCAGGGGGAUGGCCACUAUUUGGCCCGUCUUCAAUUCGCCACACAAGUAGCUGGACUCAUCUAUAAAAGGGUCAAUCUUUGGGCAACCAAAUGCACGCCAAACCCAAAAAUACACACGAAAGCAAGCCUGCAAAAACAACAGAGAGGAAAAAAUGGCUCCCUGUUUUAGAGCACUAGUCAUAGCAAUAACAUCGCUGUUGAUGAUAUCUUCAGUGAUCAGGUCUUCCGAUGCUGCUGGAAUUGCCACCUACUGGGCCAAAACACCGACGAAGGAAGCCUGGAAGACGCAUGCCGGAGAGGUACCUAUGACUACGUGAAUCUUGCCUUUCUGAUAAAUUAUGGCAAUGGCCAGACACCAGAAUUGAACUUAGCUGGGCAUUGUGAGCCAAGCGCUUGCUCCUCGCUUAGUUCUGAGAUAAAAGCUUGCCAGAAACGAGGCAUCCAAGUGCUUCUUUCUCUCGGUGGAGCUCCAAACCUUUCUUCACGCGAUGAUGCUAAGGAAGUCGCGUCCUAUCUCUAUAAUAAUUUCCUUGGCGGUGAAUCAGAAAAUCGUCCAUUAGGCGAUGCUGUCUUAGACGGUAUAGACUUUCAUAUCCAAG
Molecule: long non-coding RNA, 57268 nt
Filed under: Coffea arabica (coffee)
Lineage: Eukaryota; Viridiplantae; Streptophyta; Magnoliopsida; Gentianales; Rubiaceae
Description: long non-coding RNA (CARA_LNC008258)
Rfam family: Plant small nucleolar RNA R71 (bases 42519-42625)
Source: RNAcentral